UGUGAGUCCUCAAAGACAAUCUCUGCAAAUUGAAGCGUUACUACAUAGUUUCCGUUCUCAAGUCCAACGCCAAAGUAUCUUAAAGACGAAGGCGACAUCCUUGCUUUCUGGAACAGUUCUGAAUCCGGGGUAUUCCGAAACUGGCGUGUUGGGCUGUAUACUGUGUAACUUGCAUUUAAGCUUUGUAUUAUGUAAUCUCUUUUUGAUGCCUCCAUGAAUGUCCCUACAUUGCUAACACCCCAUGUUGGUGCUCCUGUAACAUAAUAGGAUGCAGGUCCAAGAUUGGCAUCAUCAGGCAGAUACACGGAACCAUCUGAUCCUGAUAUUGAACUACUGCUCCCGCAGUCCACAGCAAAGGAGGUAGCUGCAAGCAUGUUAAAUUAUUUAAUACUUAUGUUAAUUUAGCUAAGUAGACGCACGUUGCAGAAGCUAGAAGCUCACUUUGUGGAGAGCCAAGAAAGCAGGGUGUGUCUCGCUGAAGGCACUCCAGCCCCGAAGGUAAUAAGACACUGCAGAUGUCAAACAUUGACAUUUUGAAUUCAAAAUACGAGCUUAGAGAACAAUAAUUGUACAUGAAGAUUUUGAGGAGCUAUUCGAAUGUAAACUGACCUGUUAUUGGAGUUGCUGACCACGAAAUUGUUUGCCACCAAAUUCCUAUGUACAAUGAAACAUGGAAAAAAGGCACCGUUCAUACUUCAGAGCAUAUUGAGGGUUUGUUUUAUAAGAUAAAUAAAAGCAGGGACAAAUAACCGAUUUAUUUUUUCAGCUAAACUGUAAUGAAAAGUAAUUCUCCUUCAUUAAAGAUUUGGAAUCAUAUGUGGCUUAGAUUCUGAAUCAUAGAUGACGUCAAAUGCAAAAAAGAAAAAGAAAAAAAGAAAAAAUAAAUAUGAUCUAGGUGCAGCAAAAGCAGCUUUUUAGAUGUAAUUGAUAUUAAAAAAUGCUAGUUUAAUACAUGUGUAUGAUAUUGGAUUAUCUUUAAAAUAAUAGUAAUAGGGCUGAAUUUUCGGUCAGUCAAUCAAGCUUGCAAAACUCAGCACUUACAAUGUCAAAUUCGGACUAACCCAGGAGGGAAAGUUUCCUGAUAGCUGGUUGUAGGAAAAAUCUCUACACAAAAGAAAGCAUGUAAAUGUUAUAGAUAAACGCCUUCCUAAUUUUACUUCACAAAUGAAAGUGGACAAACAUACAAGUUUUUAAGAGAAGUUCCUAUAGAACUUGGAAGGCUUCCUGAAAGACUAUUAUUCCCGAGAAACCUAGGCAGACCAAAUUUGCGCAUUAGCAAGAUUAAUGAUCAUUGUCAUCAGAACCUAGAAAUAAGUAUCAGAAGGCAAGAUAAACCAUACAAGAAGCUGAGUGAAUUCAGAUUCAGCAGAGCUUGUGGUACUUGGCCAGUGAUAUUGUUAAAACUCAAAUCCCUAUAACAACAGAACAAAUGAGACUAGGAGAGAAAGGGGUCAUCAAACAAUGCAUAAUCCACAGCAGUUCAUUAAAGCAUCUAGCAAAACAUGUAGUUGACUGGAGUUUACGAAGAAACAAAAUGUCUUACAGUAGGGUUAAUGUUGCAAACUGUGAAAAGUUUACUGAUGCCAGGUUAUCAGAUAUCCUGCAGUUCCUCAAAACUCUGCAAUGAAACAUGUCAAGAGUUUUCGGAUUUAACAAUUGGUUGCACUACAGAAAAUAUUAAGAUGUAGUUUGAGUCAUCAAAUGAAUGGCAAGUUAUGCAUACAAGGUGUUCAAAGAUGUCAUGUUACUAAUGAAUGCCAGUGAAGAACUUCCAUUUACUAUGUCACCUAUUCGUCUGCACCACAGAAAUAAAUAGUUCAUUCUUCUGUUCUGCAACCUUAAUAUUUGACAAUGAUACUUAUCUACUCCCGCCAUCAGUAGUCACUUACAAGCUUGUCAGUUGGACAAGAUUAGAAAGAGUGGUUGGAAGUGGACCUUGAAAUGAAUUGCCUUGAAACCGUCUGCAAAAUUAUAGUUGUUGUUACUAGUGAAGAAAGAAGGAAGAUCCUGCUGGUACAAGGGUCACUUUCUUGGUAAAAAAAGUAAAUAGAUUUAUGCAGAUAGAAAUAUGAUCUGUUCCAUACAAAAAAUAAUUAUUAGAAAAAUCAAUUCAAUAUUUUUAACACUAGUAUUUUUUUAAUGGAACAGGAGGGGUUAGGACCCCUACUGGUUAUAUAUUCAGGAAAAAGAGUAUUUUACAGAGCAAUAGGAGAAAAAGGAAAAUUACAACAGAUUGUCAAGCCAUUCUGUGAUUCUAGGGAAAGACUUAUUUUUUGCUCGAUGGAUAACCAUAUCAAAUUCAUACUUGAAAAUGUUUCUGCAACUCUCAACUGAAACUUGUUGUUGCCUGGAGAUUGCAUUGUUCCUUGUUGUCCAGAAUAUGUGGAACAGCACCGCAUUAUCAUGAAUAGUGAAAAAAUGUAAUAUUUACUAAAAUGAUGAAACCACCUCACAUCUGACCUUAAGUGGAUUAUUUUAAUAGGCCACUGAAUGGAGAUUUAGCAGAGUAAAAACUACACUUAGCUAAUACCAUCUCAUUUAUGAGCACAAUGAGCCAGGGUUCAAAAUGAAUUUCAUACUUGAGAACUGUUGCAAACUGUACACAAUGUCUUUAAAGAAAUUAUCAUCACCAUCUGAAAAGUAUAAGUUGUAAAUCUUACAGUUCUAAUAAAUUACUGAAGCUCCCAAUGUAAUCUGGUAUUUGCCCAGUAAAAUCAUUAUCUGAUGCCCACCUAAUCACAAAUAAGAAAAACACAUAAGGUUAAAUGAAUGAUACUGUUGACAAAACAUCUUUUAUAGGCAUACAAUAUUUUCAUGCUUGUAAGCUUAGAAAAUGAUGGUGGUAAUGGACCACUUAAGCCAGAGCUGUCAAUAUAUCUGCAAGACAGAAAUAAAAGAAUAAGAAUGUUAACAUGGUUUGGCAGAAGAAAAAGGUAAGGACUACAGGGUGCCCAAAAUUAAUCAAAAUACGCACAGUUGCUCAAGUUUAACCAUGUUACCCAGUUCGGGAGGAAGGGAUCCAUUUAAGUUGUUCAUGCUUAUGCCCCUGAAAUCCCAGAAAAAAAUAUCAGGUUAGUAGCAAAAGAUUUGUGACAGGAAACUUUCUUAUCUUUCGAAGGAUGAAUACAUUUCUCGACAGAGGUCAACUAGUAGAAGGAAUGAAGGUGUGUUUUUUCUAUAAGCUUGAUGUCGAUAGCAUGUAUUCUCAACUUAAACUGUUCUUUAUUUGUUGAUUCUUACACAUUUAAAUAAAUUUAUAGGUACGUGUACAAAGCCAAGUCGAGAUUUAUAAAACUUUGUAGUUUGGACAUUAGCAAAGAUUUCUACUGAAAUAGGGUCAUGAAACAGAGAAGGUAAAUUUCUUACAGCGAUAUAAGAUUCACAAGCUUCCCAAGCUCCUUUGGAACAGAUCCAGAUAAUGCAUUAAUUGCAAGACUCCUUUUAUGUUCAAGGGAGAUAAUUUAAGUUUCAAUGUUACCCAAAACAUGUGAUGUAGUAAUGUUAGGUUCUAAAUCUCACAUGUAUUGCAAAGCAGUCAGUUCCCCAAGGAACGAUGGUACAGGCCCUGUUAAGUAAUUUUGCAUUAAGUUCCUGAAAAAAACGUCAGAUCAGAUCAGAUGUAAACGAAAAAGGAUGGCUCUCAGUAGGUAUUAUAUUUAAAGAAAUUUUGAGCUUGAUGCGGGAGGCUACUACAAAGCAAUCCGCUGCUAUGAUAAUAUGAUAUGCUGUGGAACUGCGGAAAAUGACAAAGUCCACCGAUAAAUUGCGACUAAACAAUCUUCAUAUACACUUGGGAUACUUUGGCUCACUGACGAUUUCAAGAAAGUUGAGAAUUCAUACAAAUUGGUCAAGUGCGUGAGGUUCCUCAGCUCUUCUGGUAUAGGACCUACCAGAUUCAAUGCGUACAUUUUCCUGCAGUAAUAACAGUGAAGCACCCAUCAGCUCACACCAUCUCAAUUUAGCCUUCAUGGAUGUUCGUCAUCAGACAAACACCACUAGGUUAUGGAGCGCCGUCAAAUAACCGCACAAGCAAUAGUUGCAGAGAUAAGGACGAUGCACUAGCUUGCCACACUCUGAGUGCACGAACUGCCACCUCAGGUGGGCAAAUUAGAUCAUCCAGCAACUAAUGGUGGGCGUACGGAUAGGAAGCGUGAGACACUUACAGCUUGGUGAUGUGGCAGACGGUGUUGUUCUGGCCGGAGCACUUGCACUGGAUGGCCGGGUUGAAGUUCAUGUCUGAGUCGAUGUUGGUGUCGUCCGUGGCGGCGCCGGUGCAGGGGUCGCCGCUGAUGUUCCAUGCCGAAGACGCCGUCUGGCCGAGCUUGUCGAACACCGCAUUCACCGCCGCCGCUGCAAAACCGAAAACGGGUUCAUACUUCACACACAUCCCAAAGAAGCAAUCACCGACUAACCUUUACCGACCACAGAGAAUAUAUAAAAUAACAGAUCACCCUCAGGCACUCAACGCGAACUCUAGGCAAAAGUGGUGAAUCUAGUAGUGUACAGUGAUAGCUAGUCUUAUAAUACAUUAAAAGCAUUAUAAGUACCCUAAAAGCUUGGUGACAUAGUAACUUUUUUUUUUCUUUUUUAAUAAAAAAUAUAUAUCUAGUAGGAGUCUUAGCCCCACCUGUUCCUUAAAAAAAAAUACCAAGACUCUAGCUGUCCUACCUCGGGGCUUUCUUAUUUUUUAAAAAAAUAAAGGCAACGGGUAAUAAUACGUUUGGUUCCACGGACUAAAGUUUAGUCCCUAUCACAUCAAAUGUUUAGAUACUAAUUAGGAGUUAAGCUAAUUAUAAAACUAAUUGCACAGAUGAAGGCUAAUUCGCGAGACGAAUGUAUUAAGCCUAUGUCAAAUCAUGGACUAAUUAGGCUUAAUAGAUUCGUCUCGCGAAUUAGCCUCCAUUUGUGCAAUUGGUUUUGUAAUUACUCCUAAUUAGUAUCUAAACAUUCAAUAUGACAGGAACUAAACUUUAGUUUGUGACAAUGAAUACGACAACUAGCAAGUAACUACCACGACAAGCAGCCAUAAGGUGGUUGAAGCUGCACAACAAGUCAACAACUAGCUCUCUAAAGAAGGUUGAUUUUUAGGGCAGUCCCAAACCAUAGUUUCUAUGGGUAGUUUCUAUGUUGACCUAUCACCAAGAUGCCACUUGUAGAUCUAAUCUCCCCAACCCAUAGUUUCUAUGGGUAGUUUCUAUGUAGAGCAAAAUUUCAUGAUUUCACGCAAGCACCACAAGCAAAGCUCGGUCAGCUGUCGCAAGCAACCGCGUAGCCUUCAUGCUGCCACAGUCCGAGCCAUUGAAACAAAAUAAUUCUUUCACAGCUGCUAUAAGAUCGAUCGACCUGGAAAGCGCCGCCAAGAGACGAUGCAGGCCAAAAUGCAGGAGCGAGAUGAGUGCUGGUUCGAUCAGUGCCUGGACAAAGUGCCAAAGUGGCGCUUGAAGCAACGGACGGAGAACUGGCGCCUGCAGAAGCAACUGCGGUAGCACCAACAACACGUCUGGAACUUGAAGAGGGCUUCCUCGAUUUCUUUUGAUGUACGCCUUUCUUCUCCAAUCGAUCCUUAGAAGCGGCGCGUGUGGAAUUGCUGGCGGAGGCUUGGUGCGCGGCCGCGCACGGGGGUGGCCAGCGGCGUGAGGCGGACACAGGCGCCGGAAAUUGGCACGCGCGAGCGAGGGAGGGGAUGGCCGCGGCGCGCGCGUGAGGGAGGGUCGCGACGCGGCAGUAGCAGGCGCGCACGGAGCCUGGGGUUGGGUCGCGGCGCACAGCGGAUCGGGAAGAUGGGCAAGAAAACGAGGAAGGAAACGAUAACGCUGGCACAACGCGAUUACGGCGGUAUCUACGCACUUUGGUGCGCGAGCCGACUCGGUUUCUCACAUGAGAAAAACGAUUUCUUGCCCUUUCUUCGUUAAAUCACCUGCCACAUCGUUAGAUCGCUGAUAUGGUACUGUAUUGAAUGAUAUAGAAAUUGGAGGGUUGGGAGUGCCCUUAAUAUUUUCUCGCUUGGAUCCCAAUUUCACCUCGUGGGCUUGCUCUGUUCGAUGUUUCCUCACGUGGGACUAGCGUUGAACCACAAGAGUUUCUGACUUAUUCGUGGGCAAAACAUGGAUGAGGUCAAAAGGCGAAAAACCAUAAUAUCAUACCAUUAAACGCGCCCCUGUUGCCCUUCUACCCGAAACAUUUGGAACGAGAUAGUUUCUUGGACGAAUCGGGCAGAUGAUUCUCUGGAACAGAUCAGGGAUUGUACAGAUCAGGGAGAUGAAAUUCCAACAGCAAAGGUGGCCAUGAUGCCGGUAAGAAUUCGACUCGAUCGAGCUGAUUUUUCAAGAACUUACUUGCAGGGGAUAUUAUCUUAAGAACGUGAGGACAUUGCUGACAGCUAGCAACCUCAAACUGAGAGGCGCCUCCCAGGAAAAGAAACAAAGCAAAAGGCAAGAACAAACUUAAUUACAAAUAUACAAUCGAGCUCAUCAGAUAGAACACCUCGAAAAUUAUCUUUUUAUCGCAGGAGCGCUGAAUAGGACUUACCUUCAGUUGGAUCUGUCCUUGUUGGUGGUGCUUGCUGAGCUUUGGCCGACGCAGCUAGGAGAAGCAGCGCGGAGAGCACGUAGCCACGGAGGGAAGAACUCCGUGUUAACCUCAUCUCCCUCUUCCUAACUGCUCUCGCUUAGCUUGGCCGUGGCCCUUCCGAGGAAAGCAAUCUUGUUCCGUGUCCAAAAAAUCUGCUGAUUUCAUCAUCAUAGAAGGAAAGCAAAGCAAAUAAAGCAGCAGUCAAAGGCACACGACUGAUUGGGGAUACGCGGUCGUUUGGCAACAUUAGUACUGAAGACGACUGCAUGACUGACUGACGUUCUCAAGCUUUGGAUUCAUCCACUCGAACCAUUCAAGACUGUCAUGGUCUAGAUAAUUAAGGCGAUUUCCCAGGAUGGGAUGUUUGCUAUGGACAGAAGCUGGAACAAUUCAACGAAGUAAUAAUAAAGGCCAACCACUUCCGAUACUGACACAUAUACAUCUCAGAGUUCUAACUUUCGCCGUGCGGCUGCUUUUGGUCUGAAGUGUCAACUACUAGUUCGCACAUGCAUAAUCAGUCCAGUUUACACCACGGGAAAUCAAUUUCAUGAAGAUGAAAAAACUACUAGGUACUUCUUCCGUUUCAAAAUGUUCGGUUUUUAAACUUUUUAGAUACAUAAAUUUUGCUAUGCACCUAAAUAAUUGAGGUAAAAAUGAUUGUUAAGUAGCAAUGGGUACUUCCACCACGUACUUUUUUAAAAAAAAUUACACUGUUGAUCCAAGUAAUGUAAUUAAAAAAUAAAUUAAAUUAGUACCGGUCCCACUGUUUUUGUACUUGGUCUCCACCUAUUUGGUACUUCUUGUUACUUUUCUCUAGAUACCUCUAGGUACUUUCUACCUUUCCACCGCACGAUUUUUCUGGAUGGACGGCUCUUAUUUUUUCCAAUUAUUGAAAAUAUUUUCAUCAACAAAACCAAAACGACCUACAUUUUGAAAUAAAGGGAGUAACUAAUAGUCUAAUACCUUAGCAUUGACAAGGGCUUGUUCAACGAGAGUGGAACGACAUAGACACAAUCUCCUUGCAUUUAUCGAAAAUUUAGCAUUUUUUCCCUUCUGUUCUGCUGAAGAAUUUGGCCUAAUCCUAUGAACCCAGGCAAGUGCCUACGGAGAGAAUUUGAUGCCAGGUCCGCCAUUGGAUCAAAGUAGGCACGGCAAUGGAAUAAUGGAUAAUAACCGUCAUAUGCAGUGAUAUAAGGCUUAUAAUCCACUAUGCAAAACUAACAAUCAGGGCACCAACUGUGAAGUGUGUAUCUACACACAACGUAUUCCGUGGAUAUGGCUGCUAGGGGGGCGAGCCUUGGGUGCGAAAGAGGGCCAUUUGGAUGGUGCACCUAACGAAUCUUACACACAUCCAAAUCUUCAAAGUGCAUCCACACCAAAUAAUAUAAUCCGUUGCUUGACAGAAGCUUAUUUGAAUCUGAUGAUCAUUGACCAUCAUCACCGGCCUUCCUCGAUGAGGGAGCUCAGGUACGACGAUGUCGAUGCCGACAUGCCGACCACCUCCCUCUUGCUCGAGCUCGCCUGCCACUCGGUGACGUAGCUGGGCUUCGUGACUGCCUCUGGCACUUCGAUGUCUUCUGUGAGCAUGGACACCACCUUUGACAUGGAUGGCCGCUGCCGAGGUGAGCUCUGGAUGCAGAGGAGGCCGACGCGGAUGGCACGGAGAACCUCGUCGCUGACGAAUUCCAUGAGACUCGGGUCCACGACGUCGAGAGGACGGCCUUCCUCGUACAAUUGCCAGACCUGAAAGCGUAGGGCUCAUGCAUGUAGGAGAACUUCACUGUUGUAGGAAUGCAACAAACUAUUUUUUUUCAUAUGAUUCCAAAUUCUAAGAUCCACAUAAUGCUGCCAUUUUAAAAUUUAACACGCUGUGUCAGCUGCUUAGAUGCUAACAAGGUCUUAUAAGUGACACCAUAUGCAUGACUAGCAAUUUCUACGAAAAAUGUAUUUGUCUCAAAUAAAUAGCAUUUUUAUGUUGAAUUUAGUAUAUGAACAACUUUUAAAUUUUUAUGUUGUUAAUCUAAAUAAUUCUUCAUGUAGUGCUGCGCAAAGCUAAAACUGCUGCACAUUUUAGAAGAGGGACACUGGAGCAUAGAUCUUUAGAUCAAUAACUUAUAUUCUGUGUCCGAGGGAGUAACAAAACUUUCCCUCUUCUAAACAAGUGCCUAUCAACAACUAGCAUUCUGUACAUAGCUUAUUUAUUUGACUGCAUCUCUUUUUAUAUAAUUCAAUGAUGUCAAAAUUAUGGUUAAGUUUUUGAAUAAAAAAUCUUAUGAACGCACAUGAGCUUUAAUUUUUAUGUUAUAUAAGUGCCUAUCAUAUAUAUAUAUAUUCCCAGUUACCACAUGAAAAACUGCAAUUUGACCUGGGUCUAAAUUUUGUAGUGACUUUACCCAUUCUAAAAGAUAGGCGCUGUCUUCGUCAAGCCUAUCAUCAUAGUUUGGCCUUCCAGCUAUUGUUUCCAAUAUGACCACGCCAAAAGCAAAUACAUCAACUUUCUCCGUUACAUGACCUCUCAUGGCGUACUCAGGUGCUAGAUAACCACUUGAAAGAAGAGCAGAAAAAUAAUGUUAUUAGCUCACAGAUUAAUCAAACUAAAGUAUAAACUUUCUGCAAUUGUAUAAAGGUGCACUCCAGUGUGCAAGAUAACCUCUCAUUCCCUACUUACUAUAAAUGGGGCAAGAUGCAAAUGCGCUUACAAUGUACCGGCAACUUUUGUGCUGACAUGCGUCUUCUUGUCAUCAUAAAGUUUAGCGAGUCCAAAAUCUGAGAUCUUAGGGUUGAAAUUGGUGUCAAGUAAGAUAUUACUGGCCUUUAUAUCCCUAUGCACAACACGGAUGCUAGACUCUUCGUGCAAAUAAGCUAGACCUCUUGUAAUGCCUAAGCAUAUCCCAAAGCGUGUAAGCCAGUCUAGGUUCUUUCUCCCACUUCCUGCAAAUGAAUGUUUAAGUUAUACGAUGAACUCCUGGAGGGCCGGAGUUAUAUACAGUUGCAUCAAAUUGAAUGAACCUGUACCAAACAAUGCUUUAUCAAGACUUCCAUUCUCUAAGUACUCGUAAACCAGCAGUGGAUUUUCGCCCUCAAGGCAGCAACCAUACAACUUCACGAGAUUCCGAUGUUGCACUUGGGAAAUAGUUUCUAUUUCAGCUAUGAAUUGCUUCUUCCCUUGACGAGAUGUUUCAGAUAGCUGCUUUACUGCUACCAUGCUUCCAUCGGUCAGUUUACCCUGCGAAAAUGUGGCAUUUUUUAAGAAUGUAAGUUUCAGACACCUCAUUAUCACGCAUAUAAUGGACAAAAUAAAGAGACUGCCAAGCUAGCCAUGUGGGGCAACUAUAAAAGGAACUAGUAGAGAGCAACAAAAGGGAAAACCAAUGGGGAAUGUGUGUGUAGAUUGAUAUUACUAAAAGAAUAGGUGAAGCAUUGCCCAGAAGUAGAGGUUUAUUAGUCAAUUUGCAUACAGAAAAAGAGCUCUGGUGUGCACUACUUAUGUACGUGGAAACUUAAUUUCAGAGGCAAAUUAAAAUUCCAUAGCAAAUUUGCAUCCAUGUCACCAUGUGUAGUACAGAUGAACUAACCUUAUAAACUGCCCCGUAUCCUCCUUCACCAAGAAGGUUAGUGGAAUUAAAAUUUUCACUAGCGGUCCUUAGUUCACCAUAACUGUAACUAAAUACAUUUGGUCUUCCAACACAACUGUACAGCUCUGCAAGAAUCACAAGAGUUAAGUUUAUGAGCACAACCUCUUUGUCUGGUUUAAGAAUACACUGUGAACCUGUCAUAUCAUGUACCUCGUUUGUCCAAUGACAAUUUUCUUCUUUUCUGCCUCAACACAUAGAGUCCAGAGAGCACUAAUAGUCCUAAAACUGCUGCACCAACCCCAACCCCAACAGCGACACCUGUAUUGCUAGUACGUUUCGUCUGGGCAGCAUGGGCAGCAUUACGCACUGUAGGUUCGAAAUCUGUCCAAAAGUCCACUUGUUAGAACAAAUGCAAUCUUGGAUUUGGAUCCUAUGUUAAGUGUUUAUGAAUUUUCACUUUUUAAAAGUACUUGAGAAUUCAGCACCGGUUCAGAGUGGAUCUGUAAUUCUGUAUCACUAUUAUACAUGUCAGAGUGUUGGUUCAGUCAUCAGCAUUCUCCUAAUGGGAACUAAGUUGACCCCGCGAAAAUUAUCUAAACAGUAUAGAAACGUUGGUUUAUAGACAACGGGAGUACUUGGAGUUGCACUCAAAGCAGAGAGCGAAGGCCCAUAGUAGCCUUGACUAGGGAUGCAACAAGUGCCCUUGCCGGCCCAGAAAAGAUGAAUCUCAAGGAAGUUUCUGGUGACAGGAACAGUAUACUUCCUCGUGACAGCAGUGUAAGAUUUUCCGGCUGCUGCCUUUCUUAUGUCAAAGUUCUGCUCUUUACGCUCACCCUGUACCAAAAGCAAGAAAAAAAACAUUAGAAAAUCUCAAUCAGCCCAUAAGCUAAAAUCUCAAGUAAGUGUAAGUUAUCAGCAUGACUGGAACCUACCUGAAUAUAGAUAUCGAAAACCCUUUUACCUAAACUCUUCCAAGUCUGCAUGUCUUCGAAGUCAAACUCUGCAAAUUGAAGUGUGACUGUAUAAUUUCCAUUCUCAAGUCCAAUGCCAUAGUAGCGUAAUGAUGAUGGAGACAUCCUUGCUGUCUGGAACAGUUCUGAAUCUAGAGUUUUCAGAAACUGGCGUGAGCUGUUGAUUAUGUAACUAUUAUUUGGUGCCUCCAUGAACCUCCCAACAUUGCUAACACCCCACGUUGGUGCUCCUGUAACAUAAUAGGAAGCAGGUCCCAGAUCGGCGUUGUCAGGCUGAUACAUGGAAUUAUCUGAGACUGACAUAGAUCUCUGGCUCCCACAGUCCACAGCAAAGGAGGAAGCUGCAAGCAUGUUAAAUUAUUUAAUACUGAUGUUAUUUAGCAUAUCCUUAAAGUGCAAAAGUGGAAGCUCACAUUGUGGAGAGCCAAGAAAGCAGGGUGUGUCUCGCUGAAGGCACCCUAGCCCCGAAGGUAAGGCACUGAAGAUGUCAAACAUUGUCAAUUUGAAUCCAAAAUAUGAGCUGAGGCCUGAGAGAACAUAAAAAUUGUGCUUGAAGACUUUAAUGACCUAUUUGAAUACAAACUGACCUGUUAUUGGAGUCGUCGAUUACGAAAUUGUUCGCCACCAAAUUCCUAUGUAGAAUGAAACAUGUAAAAAAGAGUUAGAAGGCACUAUUGCAGAGAAUCAAGAGAAACCAAAGCAGGGACAAAAUUGAUUCAGUUUUUUAAGAUAAGCGAUAAGGUAAAGUACACAUCUGCUUGUUCAAAGAUUCUGAAUCAUAGAUGACGUCAAAUGCAAAAAGAAAAGAAAAAAAGAAAAAAUAAAUAUGGUCUAGGUGCAGCAAAAGCAGCCUUUUAGAUGUAGUUGAUAUUAAAAAAUGCUAGUUUAAUACAUGUGUAUGAUAUUGGAUUAUCUUUAAAAUAAUAGUAAUAGGGCUGAAUUUUCGGUCAGUCAAUCAAGCUUGCAAAACUCAGCACUUACAAUGUCAAAUUCGGACUAACCCAGGAGGGAAAGUUUCCUGAUAGCUGGUUGUAGGAAAAGUCUCUACACAAAACAAAGCGUGUAAAUGUUAUAGAUAAACGCCUUCCUGGUUUUACUUCACAAAUGAAAGUGGACAAACAUACAAGUUUUUAAGAGAAGUUCCUAUAGAACUUGGAAGGCUUCAUGAAAGACUAUUAUUCCCGAGAAACCUGGGCAGACCAAAUUUGCGCAUUAGCAAGAUUGAUGAUCAUUGUCAUCAGAACCUAGAAAUAAGUAUCAGAAGGCAAGAUAAACCAUACAAGAAGCUGAGUGAAUUCAGAUUCAGCAGAGCUUGCGGUACUAGGCCAGUAAUAUUGUUAAAACUCAAAUCCCUGUAACAGUAGAACAAAUGAGACUAGGAGAGAAAGGGGUCAUCAAACAAUGCAUAAUCCACAGCAGUUCAUUAAAGCAUCUAGCAAAACAUGCAGUUGACUGGAGUUUACGAAGAAACAAAAUGUCUUACAGUAGGGUUAAUGUUGCAAACUGUGAAAAGUUUACUGAUGCCAGGUUAUCAGAUAUCCUGCAGUUCCUCAAAACUCUGCAAUGAAACAUGUCAAGAGUUUUCGGAUUUAACAAUUUGGUUGCACUACAGCAAAUAUUAAGAUGUAGUUUUGAGUCAUCAAGUGAAUGACAAGUUAUGCAUACAAGAUGUUCAAAGAUGUCAUGUUACUGAUGAAUGCCAGUGAAGAACUCCCAUUUACUAUGUCACCUAUUCGUCUGAACCACAGAAGUAGAUAAUUAAUUCUUCUGUUCUGCAACCUUAAUACUUGACAAUGAUACUUAUCUACUCCCGCCAUCAGUAGUCACUUACAAGCUUGUCAGUUGGACAAGAUUAGAAAGAGUGGUUGGAAGUGGACCUUGAAAUGAAUUGCCUUGAAACCGUCUGCAAAAUUAUAGUUGUUGUUACUAGUGAAGAAAGAAGGAAGAUCCUGCUAGUACAAGGGUCACUUUCUUGGUAAAAAAAGUAAAUAGGUUUAUGCAGAUAGAAAUAUGAUCUGUUCCAUAAAAAAGAUAAUUAUUAGAAAAAUCAAUUCAAUAUUUUUAACACUAGUAUUUUUUAAUGGAACAGGAGGGGUUAGGACCCCUACUGGUUAUAUAUUCAGGAAAAAGGAGUCUUUUACAGAGCAAAAAGGAGAAAAAGGAAAAUCACAACAGAUUGUCAAGCCAUUCUGUGAUUCUAGGGAAAGACUUCUUUUUUCUCGAUGGAUAACCAUAGCAAAUUCAUACUUGAAAAUGUUUCUGCAACUCUCAACUGAAACUUGCUGUUGUUUGGAGAUUGCAUUGUUCCUUGUUGUCCAGAAUAUGUGGAACAGAACCGCAUUAUCAUGAAUAGUGAAAAAAUGUAAUAUUUACUAAAAUGAUGAAACCACCUCACAUCUGACCUUAUGUGGAUUAUUUUAAUAGGCCACUGAAUGGAGAUUUAGCAGAGUAAAAACUAUACUUAGCUAAUACCAUCUCAUUUAUGAGCACAAUGAGCCAGGGUUCAAAAUGAAUUUCAUACUUGAGAACUGUUGCAAACUGUACACAAUGUCUUUAAAGAAAUUAUCAACACCAUCUGAAAAGUAUAAGUUGUAAAUCUUACAGAUCUAAUAAAUUACUGAGGCUCCCAAUGUAAUCUGGUAUUUGCCCAGUAAAAUCAUUAUCUGAUGCCCACCUAAUCACAAAUAAGAAUAACGCAUAAGGUUAAAUGAAUAAUACUGUUGACAAAACAUCUUUUAUAGGCAUACAAUAUUUUCAUGCUUGUAAGCUUAGAAAAUGAUGGUGGUAGUGGACCACUUAAGCCAGAGCUGUCAAUAUAUCUGCAAGACAGAAAUAAACGAAUAAGAAUGUUAACAUGGUUUGGUAGAAGAAAAGGUAAGGACUACAGGGUGCCCAAAAUUAAUCAAAAUACGCACAGUUGCUCAAGUUUAACCAUGUUACCCAGUUCGGGAGGAAGGGAUCCAUUUAAGUUGUUCAUGCUUAUGCCCCUGAAAUCCCAAAAAAAAUGUCAGGUUAGUAGCAAAAGAUUUGUGACAGGAAACUUUCUUACCUUUCGAAGGAUGAAUACUUUUCCCGACAGAGGUCAACUAGUAGAAGGAAUGAAGGUGUGUUUUUUCUAUAAGCUUGAUGUCGAUAGCAUGUAUUCUCAACUUAAACUGUUCUUUAUUUGUUGAUUCUUACACAUUUAAAUAAAUUUAUAGGUACGUGUACAAAGCCAGGUCGAGAUUUAUAAAACUUUGUAGUUUGGACAUUAGCAAAGAUUUCUACUGAAAUAGGGCCAUGAAACAGAGAAGGUAAAUUACUUACAGGGAUACGAGAUUCACAAGCUUCCCAAGCUCCUUUGGAACAGAUCCAGAUAAUGCAUUAAUUGCAAGAUUCCUUGUAUGUUCAAGGGAGAUAGUUUAAGUUUCAAUGUUACCCAAAACAUGCGAUGUAGUAAUGUUAGGUUCUAAAUCUCACAAGUAUUGCAAAGCAGUCAGUUCCCCAAGGAACGAUGGUAUAGGCCCUGUUAAGUAAUUCCGCAUUAAGUUCCUAAAAAAACGUCAGAUCAGAUCAGAUGUAAACGAAAAAGGAUGGCUCUCAGUAGGUAUUAUAUUUAAAGAAAUUUUGAGCUUGAUGUGGGAGGCUACUACAAAGCAAUCCGCUGCUAUGAUAAUAUGAUAUGCCGUGGAACUGCGGGAAAUGACAAAGUCCACCAAUAAGUUGCGACUAAACAAUCUUAAUAUACACUUGGGAUACUUUGGCUCACUGACGAUUUCAAGAACGUUGAGAAUUCAUACAAAUUGGUCAAGUGCGUGAGGUUCCUCAGCUCUUCUGGUAUAGGACCUACCAGAUCCAAUGCGUACAUUUUCCUGCAGCAAUAACAGUGAAGCACCCAUCAGCUCGCACCAUCUCAAUUUAGCCUUCAUGGAUGUUUUUUUUUUGAAAUAAACCUUCAUGGAUGUUCGUCGUCAGACAAACACCACCAGGUUAUGGAGCGCCGUCAAAUAACCGCACAAGCAAUAGUUGCAGAGAUAAGGACGAUGCACUAGCCUGCCACACUCUGAGUGCACGAACUGCCACCUCAGGUGGGCAAAUUAGAUCAUCCAGCAACUGAUGGUGGGCGUACGGAUAGGUAGCGUGAGACACUUACAGCCUGGUGAUGUGGCAGACGGUGUUGUUCUGGUACGUGCAGUCGCAUUUGAUUCCCGGGUUCAAUUUUGGGCGAUUGUCGACGUCGGUGUCGUCCGUGGCCGCGCCGGCGCAAGGGUCGACGCCGCUGAACCAAGAUGGCCACAGUCUGCUCCCGAGUUUGUCAAACACCCCCUUCAGCGCAUCCGCUGCGAAUGAGACACAAACACGAAAACGCGAUCAAACAUCCUGCCCCUCGGCAGUCCGAGAAAAUUUUGCAAUAUGCUCCUAUGGUUUAAGAUAUUUAGACCCUGACUAUAACUUUUUGCAGGCCGAGAGCUUGCAUUGUGUGGCCGAGGGGGAUUGAUUUGUUUAGUAUUCAUGUGCUCUAAUGGUCGAGAGUAUUUUGGUGUUACAUAGCUGAUCUCCGAGAGUGAACAUGAUUUCCAGAGAAGCAAUCACCGACUAACCUUUACCGACCACAGAGAAUAUAUAAAAUAACAGAUCACCCUCAGGCACUCAACGCGAACUCUAGGCAAAAGUGGUGAAUCUAGUAGUGUACAGUGAUAGCUAGUCUUAAGCUUGUAAUACAUAAAAAGCAUUAUAAGUACCCUAAAAGCUUGGUGACAUGGUAACUUUUUUCUUUUUUAAUAAAAAAUAUAUAUCUAGUAGGAAUCUUAGUCCCCACCUGUUCCUAAAAAAGUACCAAGACUCUAGCAGUCCUACCUCGGGGCUUUCUUAUUUUUACAACAAAAAAAAAAGGCAAUGGGGGUACUAAUACUAUGCAGCAAGAGGUGAGAACAAGAUGACAUGAAGAUGCACAAAAAUAUUUGUGCUCGAGAUGAAAUCUGUCCUGCCCUGCAAUGGACUAUCCCACUCUUUCACAACCAAAAUUUAUGCUCGAACAAGAUGCUUUUACCUUUACUAUCGGUUUCAUGACUACACGCACGCCGGCCUACAUGUUGCCAGCACAGCACAUGCGCCAACCUGUUUUGUUACGCCAUCUCAGCCCAGGUCUGUGCCAGGCAAGCAGCACGAAAAUGUUUCUAUGUUUAGUAUCGAUUCCCUUUGUUUCAAAAUAGAGUUGAAUUUAGAUUUAUCCUAAAUCAAAUUUCUAUAAAUUUGAUAGGCAUCAACCUCUACAACAUCAAAUUAGUUUCAGUGAAUCCACCAUGAAAUAUCUUGACAGUGUAUUUUAUUUGGUAUUUUUUGAUGAAGUCAGUAGGAAAGCCACAACCUAUUUUUUUUAAUUUUUUAUUCUAGACCUGUUUAAUUCGCUUCCAAGAGGAGUCGAACUAAGGUCUGCUGGAUACUGCUCAAGUGCUCUAACCACUAGGCUAGAUGCACUUUUUUAUUUGGUAUUGUAGAUGUUAUUAUAUUUUUUUAUAAACUUAAUCAAAAUUAGAGAAAGUUUGAUUUAGUGAACUGAGCGUAGCCUAGCUGGUAAGGUCCCUUGUGGUGGAACCUGCUCAGUGGUAGGUGAUGUGCCCAUUGAUAGCGAGAUGUCAGUGGUGACUUCAUCAAUCUCGAGGAUUUACCGGUUCAAUUUUUCGGAGGUGCUCAUAGGGGUAAAGUUGCGUGCGUGUAUUCGUAGGGACGAGUGUGCGUACAUGUAUGUGAGCGUCUACGUCUGUGAUUCACAGUAAAAAAGAGAAAGUUUGACUUAGAAAAAACUAAUGAAAAAUAUUUUAGAAUGGAUGAAGUAAUCAAUUAGGUGCUGAUUUAUUUUUUUAAGACGUACAUAUGAGAAAGUUACCUAUCAAAUUAUUCUUACUAUAUUUGGUCAUUUAAAGACGACUCGUCAUGCUAGAUGACCGGAAGGAGUAGUAAAGAAUUAGUCUUAGACGACUCCACCGGAGACAGGCAAUGAAAACGACAACUAGCAAGUAACUACCACGACAAGCAGCCAUAAGGUGGUUGAAACUGCACAACAAGUCAACAACUAGCUCUCUAAGGAAGGUUGAUUUUUAGGGCAGUUCCAAAUCAUAGUUUCUAUGGGUAGUUUUUAUGUUCACAUAUCAUCAAGAUGCCACUUGUAGAUCUAAUCUCCCCAACCUAUAAUUUCUAUGGGUAGUUUCUACGUAUGAUUUCACGCAAGCAGCACAAACAAAGCUCGGUCAGCUGUGGCAAGCAACCGCGUAGCCUUCAUGCUGCCACAGUCCGAGCCAUUGAAAUUAAAAUAAAUUCAUUCGCAGCUGCUAUAAGAUCGAUCAACCUGGAAAGAGCCGCCAAGAGACGAUGCAGGCCAAAAUGCAGGAGCGAGAUGAGCGCUGGUUCGAUCAGUGCCUGGACAAAGUGCCAAAGUGGCGCUAGAAGCAACGGACGGAGAACUAGCGCCUGGAGAAAGCAACAGCAGCAGCACCAACAACUCGUCUGGAACUUGAAGAGGGCUUCCUCGAUUUCUUUUGAUGUACGCCUUUCUUCUCCAAUCGAUCCUUAGAAGCGGCGCGUGGGGAAUUGCUGGCGGAGGCUUGGUGCGCGGCCGCGCACGGGGGUGGCCAGCGGCGUCAGGCGGACACAAGCGCCGGAAAUUGGCACGCGCGAGCGAGGGAGGGGAUGGCCCGCGGCGCGCGCGUGAGGGAGGGUCGCGACGCGGCAGUAGCAGGCGCGCACGGAGCCUGGGGGUGGGUCGCGGCGCACAGCGGAUCGGGAAGAUGCGCAAGAAAACGAGGAAGAAAACCGUAACGCUGGCCCAACGCGAUUUCGGCGGUAUCUACGCACUUGAUUCGCGAGCUGACUCGGUUUCUAACAUGAGAAAAACAACGAUAUCUCGCUCUUUCUUCGUUAAAUCACCUGCCACGUCGUUAGCCCCCUUUGUCACGGCUCCUUGAGGAGCUUCUCCACCGGCUUCUCAAGGAGCCGUGUCAAACACUUUCUUCAAAACAGCUUCUCCGGCGAAACUGCCUAAAAACCUGUUGAGAGGAGCCAAAACGAGCAGGCGGAGCUAGGAAAAUGAGCUCCCCGCGGCUCCCUCAUCCAUCCUGCACCAUUCGGUACCAUAAUACCCCUGGAGUUUGCCGAAUUUACACCCAUUUUACCACUGCCUUCUUUUCUCUCUCUCCCCUAUCGCCCAUUAGUGGAGGAACGACGGGCGGCGACUAGCAGCGGGAGGUUCAAGCACCAGGAGGCGUGGCAGAGGUGGCCGGCAGUGGUACGCGGAAGCGGUGGCGGCUGGCAGCCGUAGGCAGCGCAGGCCAGGGAGAAAGAGAGGACGAAAAUAGAAAGGCAGCUGGCAGCACGCGUGGUGGCCAGAGAAGGAGGCUAGGGGGGUGGCCGGAGAAGGCAGCCAUGGGAGCGCGGCACGCCGGAGAAGGUGACGACAGGCGGCUGAUCUGGUGCAGUGAGGUGUAGGGUCGCGACACGGUAGUAGCAGGCAUGCACGGAGCCUGGGGGUGGGUCGCGGCGCACAACGCAUCGGGAAGAUGGGCAAGAAAACGAGGAAGGAAACCAUAACACUAGCCCAACGCGAUACCGGCGGUAUCUAUGCACUUUGGUGCGCGAGCCGACUCAGUUUCUCACCUGAGAAAAACGAUUUCUUACUCUUUCUUCUUCCCUGUUUGGUUCCUUUAGUGCAUAGACUGGACUAAACUUUAGUCCCACCCCUGUUUGGUUCCAUGGACUAAGGGGGUGUUUGGCUCCCAGGGGUCAAACUUUAGCCCCUGUCACAUCGGAUGUUUGGAUACUAAUUAGGAGUAUUAAACAUAGGCUAAUUACAAAACUAAUUGCACAGAUGGAGGCUAAUUCGCGAGACGAAUCUAUUAACCCUAAGUCCAUGAUUUGACAAUGUGGUGCUACAGUAACCAUUUGCUAAUGAUGAGUUAAUUAGGCUUAAUAGAUUCAUCUCGCGAAUUAGCCUAGGGCUUCUCUAAUUAGUUUUAUAAUUAACUCAUGUUUAGUCCUCCUAAUUAGCAUCCGAAUAUUUGAUGUGACAAAGGCUAAAGUUUAGCCCCUAGUAUCCAAACAACCCCUAAAAUGGACUAAAGUUCAUAAAUACUGUUAAACAAAGACCUUUUUACUCUUCUUCCCUACCCUCUUGGUAUCCCUGCGUCUACUCCUCCUCACACGGGAACUCUAACUACCGCUGGUUGAAGCUUCUCCAUCUCCAGCGCCAAUGGAGCACCGCCCGGGCAUGCCCAACCUACCCCGCCACAUGCGAACUCCCGCGCGGUGCAGGCAAGAUCCUUUGUGUGCCGGCGAGCAGUGGAGCGAGCAGAGGAUUGGCCCGAAUGGGGGAGCCUCGAAUCGGCGACAAGAUGGAGGCUCAUUGAUUCGGCCACAAGGUGAGCUCAAGGGGGCGUCGUGUUGAUUUGGACGCUGGGGAGGCUCGACGGGGUGGCGAUGUGUCGAUUUGACCGUCGGAGGACCCCGAGGGGGCGGCGGCAGUCCUUCUCAUCGCCUCUCCCCCAUGGCGGGCUAGCACCAUCGUACAUUGAAGCUCCGCCAGCCUAGCUGCAGGGCAAGCGAGCUUCGAUAGUGCGGCCACGGUACGGUCGAGCGCCACCGCGUAGGUGAGGGCAGCAGUGGGCCGGCGGCGAGGGGAGGGGAGCAGCGGUGGGUAGGCACGAGCGGAGGAGCAGCGGCCGGACGUGGGGAGAGCGGCGGCGUGGGGAGGAGAGCAGGAGGGAGGCGGGUGGUGAUGGCAGCGGGCGGCGACGGCAGCGAGUGGGAGGGAGGCCAGGUGGGAGGGAGGCGGCGGGCGGGAGGGAGCCGGGUGGGAAGGAGGGCAGUAAAUGAGGGGUAGGGGUGUCCCAACACCCUUUAGUCCAGUUUUGUGGAUUAGAGGACUAAAGCCUUUUGUUCAAACUUUAGUCCACUGUUUGGGUGUUUAGGGACUAAAAGUGCACCAAAACUUUAGUCUAUGAGAACCAAACACCCCCUGAAUCACCUCCCACAUCAUUAGAUUGCUGAGAUGGUAACACCCCCUGAAUCACCUUCCACAUCAUUAGAUUGCUAAGAUGGUACUGUAUUGAAUGAUAUAGAAAUUGGGUGACUUGAAGGUUGGGAAUGCCCUUAAUAUUUUCUCACUUGGAUCCCAAUUUCAUCUCGUGGGCUUGCUCUGUUAAGUUUCCUCUCAUGUGGUUGAAACAGCUUCGGCUGUGGCUUCUCUGAUGGAGCGGUUUUUUUAGCUCUAGUUUGCUUGAUUGGAAAAACAUUUGGCAAAACAGCUUCUCCUGAUUGUUUUAAAUGGAUAAAAAUGUGAAAUGUCCAUACUACCCUUACCUUUUUUUUCUUUUCUAUUUCUUUUCUUUUUUUUCAUUUUCCUUCCUCUUUUAUUGCUUUUUCCUCCACGGUUCCAACCGUUUCUUUCUGCCUACCUUAUCCUUUCGCUCCAUCCCAACGCCAACGCCCGCGCAUGCUGCUGCAGUGCCAUCCUCAUGCCCUACCGCGCCUAGGGGCAAACUGGAGACUUCGGCCUUGCGGAUGGGACGAAGCUGCGGGGAGUCAAUUUUAAUUUUUGGCUUCUCCUCCACUCUUAGCUCCUCUCAGCGCGAAUUGUGGGGCUCCAUCGGCGGAGCCGUUUCGUUCUUCCCCGUUUGGCAGCUAGGGCUGCUCAAGAAGUCCUGCCAAGAGGACCUUAUUCGUAGGCAAAACAUGAACGAAGUCAAAAGGCCAAAAAUCAUAACAUCGUACCAUUAAACGCACCCCUGUUGCCCUUCUACCCCCAAACAUUUGGAACGAGAUAGUUUCUUAGACGAAUCGGGCAGAUGAUUCUCUGGAACAUAUCAGGGAUGGCUUGCCUUGCCUUGCCGGGCAGAUGAUUCUUGGAAGAAAAUUACCGUGCCUUGCCAGGCUCGUGCCGGACCCUACUGGGGCCGCUCGUUUGGACAUCCAUAGCCAAGUGUGAAUUUUAUGGUGGGCAAGCAAAAGGCGAAACACGAUAUCGAUGGAUUGAUGCAAGCUGAUUUGAAACCCCCUCGCUAAUCUGAAAGAAAUAAGACAUGCACGCUUACCUUCAACCGGAUCGGUCCUUGUCCUCGCUUGCUGAGCUUGCGCAGAUGCAGCUAGAAGAAGCAGCAGCAGCAGCAACGUCGGGAGCGCAGCAGAGCCAUGGCGGCACGAACUGCUGGGUCCAGGCCUCCUCAUCUCCUUCCCCUCUCUCUGGCCUCGAGCUCGGGAUUGGCUGCCCCUUCCGAGGCCGAGCGGGAUAUAUGGUAACCUGAUGGAGACUCGGAUGGCGACUUGUCUCAGGCCCCGCCGCCGCGGUGGACACAUGCACCUCCCUCGACGCUGCGCCACCAUGCAAGGAUGGCGCAACUAGGGAAUUUUCUAUGGUCAAGUGGCGCCACUGCUCUGUCCAAGACUCCAAGCACAGUGGACGCGACGGGCCAACAACUACCUCCAGGCUCCCACAUGGAAGCAGAGCCGAAGGCGAUCGACGACGACGGUGACCGUGUUGUUCUGUGCGAGGAGACUUACAGCUUGGUGACGUGGCAGACGGUCGCCGCUGAUGUUCCAUGCCGACGCCGCCGUUUAGCACUUUCAUUAAAUAUUUUACAUAUUUUCGAUAAUGUGGUGAAAUUGUGUUUUCUAUGAAGGCUUGUGAACUUGAUAUUACAAAUAUUAUAUAAUUCCAUCAUAUGCGUUACACUAAAGAUUUUACCAGAAGCACAGGAAUCAAUGGGUGAUAUUGCUCCACCUCGAGUGCAGAGUGGGAGUGAACUUACAUGUUCUAAAAUAUAAACAAUAUAAACUCUUGUUACGCUGCUGGAGAGGAGGCAUCGCUGGAGUCGCACUUCGCCUCGUUGGACACGCAUCACCCCUCUGCUCUGUAUGGGUCUCUUUUGCGUAGCUCUUGCUGGCUCCAGCUCCAUUACUGUAGCACACUAUAGUUUAUCGUAGUGCGUGUCGGAUCUGGAGUUGGGGGGAGCAAUUUUUUCUAAAUUCACCGGCUCCUCCUCCAUAACUGUAGUACAAUGUAGCUAAUCGUAGCGCAUGUCAGAUAUGGAUUUUGACUCUUCACUACAGUACAGCACAACAGUGAUACAAGUAGCGUGACAUAGGAAACGAGAGCCGUGAGGGAGCGGUGCCAAAGGGGUCAUACGGGUGUCUUCCUCUAUUUUCUUUGCGACGGGAAGAGGUAAACAUAUGGGUGGGGCAUCAAGCUAAGUGCACGAGAUUGUGCUCUGAGAAAAUCUUGCUGCUUCUUUUUUUAAUCAUAGAUCGGGUUGGCAUCGUCCUGUCGUUCUGUCAUAAAUCAUAUAUAUAGAUCCGGAUAGACCAAACCCUCCAACAUCAUCAUUUGGUCCUGGCCUCAAAAAUCAAACCCGAAAAAGAAAAUCGAUCUAAGACGGGCGAAGCAACAAUCGAUCAGAGCACAUAACCUAACACAAAAUACGUGCAAAAGCUGAAUAUAUAUCCUCAGAACGUUUGUGACGUGCAUUUACAGAAAACUGUCCGUCAACUUGCAAAUCACCGGCCUUCUUCUCGGAGCUGUUAGAGGUUUAGGCAUUUUACGGCAUAUUUUAAUUCCGAAUAUUUCUAAGUAAAUUAUGGUUAUUGUGAGUGAUACAGAGCGUGUGCAAGUGUUUUGUUUAAAACACGUUUGAACGUAAACAGAACCAAAAGAAAGAACCAGAUAAGGUUCAGUAUGUACCUAGGGGCGGGAUCAUUGCCGAAGGCAAUGGGUGCGCCGUUCCUAGAACUGGAUGCAUCAGACAUUGUGUCUAAAAUGUCGGUUCGGGCUGUUCGAUGUAGUUGAUCAAAGUUGAUGCAGUGUCGAGUUGGUGCAGAGCAGUCCCUUGAACGGCCUCCAGGAUGUAGCAUGACGCGCAGAAGAUGCGCUUCCCCAAAACUUGAUCGCCUGCCUACUCGUGCAAGUGUCGCAGCAGGAUGAAGUUUCGGAGGCCUGCGCGUAGAGGCUCGCGAUGGGAAUGUCAAGAUAGCAGCGGGCAACAGCAAAAAAAAAGGGAGAGAUGCGCGUAGAGGCUCGCGAUGGGAAUGUCAAGAUAGCAGCAGGCAACAGCAAAAAAAAAGGGAGAGACGCGUGCGCGGCUCGACGAGGUGAGCAAGCGCGCACGGCACCCUUUCUCUCUUCCUCAACUUCUCAAUUAGUGCACACAUAGUCCACCUAUUUAAGUUGGUUAAGAUACUCUUAACUAUCCAGGUAGAAUUAACCACUUUAUCCAUCUAGCAUUACACGUGGAUCCUGAGAUUAAAUGAAUUAAAUCGGCCUAACCUGAAUAUUCCAACAGGAGCUAGCUAAUGAACGGCGAAGAGGUGUGCGACGAGGCGGCCCUUGGGGCCAAGCUCGACUGCCCGCUCAUAUUGCUGCUCAUGAAGCUGCUGGUGUUGCCUCCCUUGAUCUGCCAUUCGGUGAUGUAGCUGGGCUUGUUCACCACCUCGCCCACCUCCACGUCGUCCCCGGCCAGCAUCGACACAGCCCGAGACAUGGACGGCCGCUGGUGGGGCGAGCCCUGGGUGCAGAGCAGGGCCACGUGGAUGGCACGGAGCACCUCGUUGCUGUUGAAGUCAGCAAUACAGUUGCCAAACCUGAAAGCACAGAAAAUUAUCUAGAAAUGCUAAGAUGCCAGGCUAGCGUGACAUGUGUUUAGGGACGUUUCAUUUACCAAAUAUAAUCUCGUAGUAAUACCGUAUCCCUUAAUUUAUAGACGGGAUUAAAAUCAUUGGUGAGUUGCAUGGCAAUAAUAAGUAUAUCGGUGAAUGAGUAUUCUUUUUUUAAGUCAACGGGGGAGUGCCCCACCUGAUUCAUUAUAGACCAGCACGCUAGCACGCUUCCAUUAUUGGUGAGUUGUAUGGCAAUAAUAAGUAUAAGCCCCCUGCUCUUUUGGCUAGCACGCUUGCUCCCACCCAACAAGACAUUGUGCUCCACUAACUGUAUCUUCCCCGGACCACAGGAAACGUCAUCGUUGGCAAUUGAGAGCGUCAAUGUUCCCUGGGGGUAGAAGGAGCACUGACAUAGCGUAGGUAAGCUGGCUGUCCAUGACGCUAUUGAUCAGCACUGCAUGGCCCAUUGGAUUCAGUAGGGAGGCGUGCCAGCCGCUGAGAUGCCUGUCCGCUCUAGUGAUCAGAGGGCUGAACACGGACAGACGUAGCUUCUCGUGGGACAGUGGCAGCCCCAGGUAGGUUUGGGGGAAGCUGCCAAGUUGGCACCCAAGAAUACUUUGAAGCGCCGUGGUAGUCGAGCUGGAAGUGUUCAUUGGCAUCAUGGUACUCUUGUUGAAAUUGAUGUGCAGCCCCGUGGCCUCGCAGAACAGAUCAAGCACCUGCUUCAGCGCCACCAGCCCAUCUUGAUCUGCCUUGAGGAGGAUGAGGGUGUCAUCGGCAUAUUGGAGCACGGGGCACGGCUUCCCCGAGGUGGCAGGGUGUGAAAUCCUCUGGUCGAGCUUGAUCAUCUGCUGAAGGACGUCAGUGACCAGAAGGAACAACAGGUAGGGGGAUAGUGGAUCCCCCUGCCGUAGGCCUCUUCCACAGGCGAACCACGGGCCAGGAACACCAUUGACAAGGACAACAAGCUUCAAGGUUUGCAACAUGCUCGUGAUCCAGUUGCACCAGAGGGGCGGGAAGCCUCGCGCAUCCAUGAUGGCGUUGAGACUGAGACAAUCCACAGAGUCGAAGGCUUUGGCGAAAUCAAGCUUCAGAACCACGGUGGGUAGCUUGCGGCAGUGGCAGCACUGGACGAGCUCCAUCGCGUAGAUGAAGUUCUCAGAGAUCGAGUGCCCCUUGAUGAAUCCUGUCUGGUCUAGAUCAAUGAGGCGGGGGAUCUAGUGUUGCAGCCGCGUCGUCAGCAUCUUAGAGAUGAUCUUCAAGGAGCAAUUUUGCAGGCAGAUUGGGCGGUAGUCCCCCGGCGUUUUGUCAAGGAGACAGCGACCGCUUCGUACGAUUCCACUAACCGAUUCAAUGUAGCAACGACAGCUGCUUUCGUCACGGAUGUGCACCACGUCCAUGCGUUUGCAGGAAAGGGAGCGCAAAAAAAAAGAGAUAUUUUUGUGAACCGUACAGGCGGAUAUUACAAGGGCUGGGCCUAUUACAAGGCCCAAGGCCUGGUCACUCAUGACACAAAGCACGUUCGGUGAUAUGAAGCUGUGUGGUCCAGCCAAUUGCAAUUUACAGCCUUUUUUCGAGCGAAUUGGCAAUUCUUGUACACAUCCGAAUCGAAAUUUUUCCAAGUGAAUUUCCAAGAAACAAUCUUGGUCUUGGCAGAAGUUGAUCUUAACUUGCCGAUGGGCGAUGGUCAUCAAUCACCGGCCUUCAUCGAUGACGGAGCUCAGGGACAUGGCCUCCGCCCCCGGCUCCGAGCUCGACGUCCCCAUGGCGUUGCUCUGCCACUCGAUGACGUAACUGGGCUUAGUAACCGCCUCGGGCACCUCAAUGUCCCCGACGAGCAUCGACACCACCCUCGACAUGGGCGGGCGCUGCCGAGGUGAGCUUUGGAUGCAGAGGAGGCCAACGCGGAUGGCACGGAGCACCUCUUCGCUGUUGAAUUCUGUGAGCCUAGGGUCUGUGACGUCCAGAGGAUGGUCGUCCUCGUAAAGUUGCCAGACCUGAAAGCAUGAUAAGUUGGGGGACAAUUCAGAUCCAACUGUUUUUUUUUUCCUGUCGCAAUAGCAGAACAAAAAAACACACAAUCAUCAUUUUCAAGAUGGUUCCAAACAUUGAUCUUCUGCUGUGCAAGUACGCAACAAUAGGAUCCACAAUAAUACUACGGCCAUGCUAAAAUUUAACAAGAGAUGCCAGCCUCUAAUAACAAGUUCACAUAAUGACAUGUUGACUAGCAGUUUCUGCAAAAAAAAAAGGCAACUUUUCGCAAGUUUUUGGUUAGACUGUUUAAGUCCAAGGUUCGAUAAAACCCUUUGUCACCGGUCCGUGAAGGGACGUAUCUCCCUCUGAUCUAUUUUUUCCUUAAAAAUUCUAUGAGAAAAAUACUAUCUGGAACAAAAGAAAUUCAUAUAAUGAAAAAGUUCCAUCCAUGGGAAAAAAAGAAAGAAAGUACAAGUAUAAUCAUACCAUCUAAUAUAGUUAAUGUAUUUUUCUAAUAUAAAGCAUCAUGUUCUCUACCCACUCGUAAAAUUUAAAUCUAAAACUCAACUUGUACAUGAAAAAAAAAUAUUAUGAGGGAUAGGUCGGACCAACUAAAAUAGUUUGGGAUAGUAAAUUAAUCCAGAAUUUUGUUCAUAGGGUUAAACGGAAAAAGUGGAUUGCUUAGGGUAGUAUAAUUUUUCCAUUUUAUGUUUCUAUAGUCUAAAUAAUUGUUAAGUGCAGGGAAAGGAUUAGCUUUAUUGAUCUGUGGAACUAACACAAUGGCAACGACUGAGCUAGAUUCGCCCUCUGCAGAGGCUCUGAAUCUUAACAACUCAAUCCUUGCUUGCCUAUCAAUAAAGAACCAGCCGGCUUAUAUAUUGCUUGGUGCUAACAAACCAAAUCCUAAUUAACAGCUAUUGCUAACCUCCUGCCAUCUUAUCCAACAAAUCAGGCGCCUAACAUGCCGGAGCUGUUGCUGGCGCCGGCUUGCUGCGCCGCCUGUAGGUUCAGCCCACAAAAGCGUCCACAACAAUAAUACCUUAUAUUUUGAUAAAAAAUAGGUAUGUCUCAUCAACAAAUGAUUUUAGAAUGAUAUAAAUUGUGUAGUAUUGUAGGUGCGGGUACUAUUCAAACUUUAGCAGACUAAAAUUGUGGUUGUGUUUUUUUUUCUGCAGGUAAAAAAUCGUGGUUGUGUUUGAUUAAAAAAUCUCAUGAAUGCAUGUGUGCUUUGAUACUUUAAAUCACUCAUGAAUCUAGUGUGGAUUUUCCGACCCCAAUAGCAAAGGAAAAAGAGUGGAACAUUGCAUGACCUGGAUCUCAAUUGUACAGUGACCUUACCCAUUCUAAAAGAUAUGCUUUGUCUUCACCAAGCCUACCAUCAUAGUUUGGCCUUCCAGCUAUAGUCUCCAAUAUGACCACACCAAAAGCAAACACAUCAACUUUCUCACUCAUAUGACCUCUCAUGGCGUACUCAGGUGCAAGAUAUCCACUUGACGAAAACAGCAAAAAGAUCACCAUUAGCUCACAAAGUUAACGAAACUAAUAUAGUGUGUCAAGAUGCGUAAGGGGGAGAAGGUUGGAGAUGUGCUUACAAUGUACCAGCAACUUUUGUGCUGAUAUGCGUGUUCUUGUCAUCAUAAAGUUUGGCGAGACCAAAAUCAGAUAUCUUAGAAUUAAGAUUGGCAUCAAGUAAGACAUUACUAGCCUUUAUAUCCCUAUGCACAACACGGAUGCUAGACUCUUCAUGGAGGUAAGCCAGGCCUCUUGCAAUGCCCAAACAUAUCUCAAAGCGUGUUGGCCAGUCCAGGUUCAAUCUCCCAUUUCCUACCAAUGAAGAAUAAUUUUCAGAUUUAUGUAAGAAACCUGAACUCUUUGCACUUGCAUCGAAUUGAAUGAAACAUUACCGAACAAUGCUUUAUCAAGGCUUCCGUUGUCUAGAUACUCGUAAACCAACAAUGGGUUAUUGCCUUCAAGGCAGCAACCAUACAACUUCACGAGAUUACGGUGUUGCACUUGAGAAAUAGUUUCUAUUUCUGUUAUGAAUUGCUUCUUCCCCUGACGGGAUGUUUCAGAUAGUAGUUUUACUGCCACUACACUUCCAUCGGAUAAUUUACCCUGCCAGAAGGUAUCAUUUUUAAAAAUGCAUGUUUUAAGUAUCAGCGUUACCAUAUGUAUACUGUAAUGAAGAAAAUGAAGAAGACAACCACAACAAAAAGAAAAAGAAAUCAGUAGGGAGCAUAUGUAUAUAUUUUUUUGAAAUAAAUAUGUAUAGAUUUGUAUUAGUAAAAAGAACGGGAGAAGCAUGUGCAGUGAGAAAAAGAAUUCACAUUGCCCAAAAGUAGAGAUAAAAUAAAAGAGGUCUAGCCAAUUUGCAUAAAGAAACAGAUCAGUGUCAAAAAAUUCACAGAAAGUAAAAUUUAACAGAAAAUUGUCAUCCAUGUGUACUACAUAUGAACUAACCUUAUAAACUGACCCAUACCCUCCUUCGCCGAGAAAGUUACUGGAAUUAAAAUUUUCACUAGCGGUCUUUAGUUCACCAUAACUGUAAGUGAAUAAAUUAGGUCUUCCAACAGUAUUGUACAGGUCUGCAAGGAUGACAAGCAAUAAAUUCAUGAACACAACCAAUGUUUGUUUAAAGAAUACAUUGUGAGCAUAGUGUAUCAUGUACCUUGUUGCUCCAAAGACAGUUUUCUACUUUUCUGCCUCCGGACAUACAGUCCAGUGAGCACUAUUAGUCCUACAACUACUGCACCAACCGCAGCUCCAACAAUUGCACCUGUUUUAUUCUUACUUCUCUUCCGAGCAGCAUUAGGUGCUGUAAUCGUGAAGUAUGUCAGAUUCAAAAAAAGCUCACUUGUUGGAAUAAGACAGUGAUCUUACAAAGAAUCAGCAUAUUUUGACUCUGAAGUUUAUGUUAUGUUCUCCUUUACUCAUUUUUAUUUUGGAAUUCAGAUGAGAAUAUUUGCACAAUUUAGAAUAGAUAUGCACGAUUAGUAUAUAUUUAUGCAUAGGUUUAAUUGUCAGCAUGUUUAAUUGUCAGCAUUUCUCAUGGUCGAAACUAUAUGCACAAGUCGACCAAAGAAGGCUGUGGUCAACAGCCCGUAAUUCAACACCCGAUCCGUUGAAGAUGGACCGUAAAAGAUGUCAAUGGGAAGGCUGCUGCUGUCACUACUGACGUUGGUGAUCUCCGUUUCCUGCAAGUUCAUUUCGUUUACUUCUGUCACUACUGACGUCACCCGAUCCGUUUCCUUCUACUACAUCUCACCUGCACCAAGCAGGCAUAUGGAUCUUCGCUAAAGCCUAACACAGCUUCUCCAAGUUCAUUUCAAGUCUAUCUAUUCACUAUUAGAUUUAGGUGAUCACACUCAUGCGAGUUUAGUUGGUCCCGUUGCAAUGCAUACGGACCGGGUAUCCCCCUGGAAUUCUAAAAAAAAAACUCAUGCGAGUUUAGACCUAACAAGAUGGUGUUAGAAUCAUGUGAUUUGAAGCAAAUGGGAGAGAGAGUACCUGGAGUUACACUCAAAGCUGAGAUUAAAGGCCCGUAGUGGCCUUGAGUAGGGAUGCAACAAGUGCCCUUGCCAGCCCAGAACAGAUGAAUUUCAAGGAAGUUUCUAGUGACAGGAAUAAUAUAUUGCUUCUGGACAGCAGCGUAAGAUCCUCUUGCUUCCUUUCUUAUGUCAAAGUUCUGCUCCUUCCGCUCACCCUUUACCAAAAUAAAAAACUCGUGACCAGCUCAAGCUAAAAUGUAAAAACCAAGGGUAGGUUAUUAGUACGACUGGAACUAACCUACCUGUAUAUAGAUAUCAAAAACUCUUUUACCUAAACUUUGCCAAGUCCGUGAGUCCUCAAAGCUAAUCUCUGCAAAUUGAAGCGUUACUACAUAGUUUCCGUUCUCAAGUCCAAUGCCAAAGUAUCUUAAAGACGAAGGCGACAUCCUUGCUCUCUGGAACAGUUCUGAAUCUGGGGUAUUCCGAAACAGGCGUGUUGAGGUGUAUACUGUGUAACUUGCAUUUGAGCUUUGUAUUAUGUAAUCUCUUUCAAAUGCCUCCAUGAACCUCCCAACAUUGCUAACACCCCAUGUUGGUGCUCCUGUAACAUAAUAGGAUGCAGGUCCAAGAUUGGCAUCAUCAGGCAGAUACACGGAACCAUCUGAUCCUGACAUUGAACUACUGCUCCCGCAGUCCACAGCAAAGGAGGUAGCUGCAAGCAUGUUGAAUUAUUUAAUACUGAUGUUAAUUUAGCUAAGUAGACGCACGUUGCAGAAGCUAGAAGCUCACUUUGUGGAGAGCCAAGAAAGCAGGGUGUGUCUCGCUGAAGGCACUCCAGCCCCGAAGGUAAUAAGACACUGCAGAUGUCAAACAUUGACAUUUUGAAUUCAAAAUACGAGCUUAGAGAACAAUAAUUGUACAUGAAGACUUUGAGGAGCUAUUCGAAUGUAAACUGACCUGUUAUUGGAGUUGCUGACCACGAAAUUGUUUGCCACCAAAUUCCUAUGUACAAUGAAACAUGGAAAAAAGGCACCGUUCAUACUUCAGAGCAUAGAGGGUUUGUUUUAUAAGACAAAUAAAAGCAGGGACAAAUAACUGAUUCAUUUUUUCAGCGAAACUGUAAUGAAAAGUAAUUCUCCUUCAUUAAAGAUUCUGAAUUAUAUGUGGCUUAGAUUCUGAAUCAUAGAUGACGUCAAAUGCAAAAAGAAAAAGAAACAAAGAAAAAAGAAAUAUGAUCUAGGUGCAGCAAAAGCAGCUUUUUAGAUGUAGUUGAUAUUAAAAAAUGCUAGUUUAAUACAUGUGUACGAUAUUGGAUUUUCGGUCAGUCAAUCAAGCUUGCAAAACUCAGCACUUACAAUGUCAAAUUCGGACUAACCCAGGAGGGAAAGUUUCCUGAUAGCUGGUUGUAGGAAAAGUCUCUACACAAAAGAAAGCAUGUAAAUGUUAUAGAUAAACGCCUUCCUGGUUUUACUUCACAAAUGAAAGUGGACAAACAUACAAGUUUUUAAGAGAAGUUCCUAUAGAACUUGGAAGGCUUCCUGAAAGACUAUUAUUCCCGAGAAACCUGGGCAGACCAAAUUUGCGCAUUAGCAAGAUUGAUGAUCAUUGUCAUCAGAACCUAGAAAUAAGUAUCAGAAGGCAAGAUAAACCAUACAAGAAGCUGAGUAUAUUCAGAUUCAGCAGAGCUUGUGGUACUUGGCCAGUGAUAUUGUUAAAACUCAAAUCCCUGUAACAGUAGAACAAAUGAGACUAGGAGAGAAAGGGGUCAUCAAACAAUGCAUAAUCCACAGCAGUUCAUUAAAGCAUCUAGCAAAACAUGCAGUUGACUGGAGUUUAGGAAGAAACAAAAUGUCUUACAGUAGGCUUAAUUUUGCAAACUGUGAAAAGUUUACUGAUGCCAGGUUAUCAGAUAUCCUGCAGUUCCUCAAAACUCUGCAAUGAAACAUGUCAAGAGUUUUCGGAUUUAACAAUUGGUUACACUACAGAAAAUAUUAAGAUGUAGUUUGAGUCAUCAAAUGAAUGGCAAGUUAUGCAUACAAGGUGUUUAAAGAUGUCAUGUUACUGAUGAAUGCCAGUGAAGAACUUCCAUUUACUAUGUCACCUAUUCGUCUGCACCACAGAAAUAGAUAAUCAAUUCUUCUGUUCUGCAACCUUAAUAUUUGACAAUGAUACUUAUCUACUCCCGCCAUCAGUAGUCACUUACAAGCUUGUCAGUUGGACAAGAUUAGAAAGAGUGGUUGGAAGUGGACCUUGAAAUGAAUUGCCUUGAAACCGUCUGCAAAAUUAUAGUUGUUGUUACUAGUGAAGAAAGAAGGAAGAUCCUGCUGGUACAAGGGUCACUUUCUUGGUAAAAAAAGUAAAUAGAUUUAUGCAGAUAGAAAUAUGAUCUGUUCCAUAAAAAAGAUAAUUAUUAGAAAAAUCAAUUCAAUAUUUUUAACACUAGUAUUUUUUUAAUGGAACAGGAGGGGUUAGGACCCCUACUGGUUAUAUAUUCAGGAAAAAGGAGUCUUUUACAGAGGAAAAAGGAGAAAAAGGAAAAUUACAACAGAUUGUCAAGCCAUUCUGUGAUUCUAGGGAAAGACUUCUUUUUUUGCUCGAUGGAUAACCAUAGAAAAUUCAUACUUGAAAAUGUUUCUGCAACUCUCAACUGAAACUUGUUGUUGCCUGGAGAUUGCAUUGUUCCUUGUUGUCCAGAAUAUGUGGAACAGCACCGCAUCAUCAUGAAUAGUGAAAAAUGUAAUAUUUACUAAAAUGAUGAAACCACCUCACAUCUGACCUUAAGUGGAUUAUUUUAAUAGGUCACUGAAUGGAGAUUUAGCAGAGUAAAAACUACAAACUACACUUAGCUAAUACCAUCUCAUUUAUGAGCACAAUGAGCCAGGGUUCAAAAUGAAUUUCAUACUUGAGAACUGUUGCAAACUGUACACAAUGUCUUUAAAGAAAUUAUCAACACCAUCUGAAAAGUAUAAGUUGUAAAUCUUACAGAUCUGAUAAAUUACUGAGGCUCCCAAUGUAAUCUGGUAUUUGCCCAGUAAAAUCAUUAUCUGAUGCCCACCUAAUCACAAAUAAGAAUAACGCAUAAGGUUAAAUGAAUAAUACUGUUGACAAAACGUCUUUUAUAGGCAUACAAUGUUUUCAGGCUUGUAAGCUUAGAAAAUGAUGGUGGUAGUGGACCACUUAAGCCAGAGCUGUCAAUAUAUCUGCAAAACAGAAAUAAAAGAAUAAGAAUGUUAACAUGGUUUGGUAGAAGAAAAGGUAAGGACCACAGGGUGCCCAAAAUUAAUCAAAAUACGCACAGUUGCUCAAGUUUAACCAUGUUACCCAGUUCGGGAGGAAGGGAUCCAUUUAAGUUGUUUAUGCUUAUGCCCCUGAAAUCCCAAAAAAAAUGUCAGGUUAGUAGCAAAAGAUUUGUGACAGGAAACUUUCUUAUCUUUCGAAGGAUGAAUACUUUUCCCGACAGAGGUCAACUAGUAGAAGGAAUGAAGGUGUGUUUUUUCUAUAAGCAUGAUGUCGAUAGCAUGUAUUCUCAACUUAAACUGUUCUUUAUUUGUUGAUUCUUACACAUUUAAAUAAAUUCAUAGGUACGUGUACAAAGCCAAGUCGAGAUUUAUAAAACUUUGUAGUUUGGACAUUAGCAAAGAUUUCUACUGAAAUAGGACCAUGAAACAGAGAAGGUAAAUUUCUUACAGCGCUAUGAGAUUCACAAGCUUCCCAAGCUCCUUUGGAACAGAUCCAGAUAAUGCAUUCAUUGCAAGACUCCUUGUAUGUUCAAGGGAGAUAGUUUAAGUUUCAAUGUUACCCAAAACAUGCGAUGUAGUAAUGUUAGGUUCUAAAUCUCACAAGUAUUGCAAAGCAGUCAGUUCCCCAAGGAACGAUGGUAUAGGCCCUGUUAAGUAAUUUUGCAUUAAGUUCCUAAAAAACGUCAGAUCAGAUCAGAUGUAAACGAAAAAGGAUGGCUCUCAGUAGGUAUUAUAUUUAAAGAAAUUUUGAGCUUGAUGUGGGAGGCUACUACAAAGCAAUCCGCUGCUAUGAUAAUAUGAUAUGCCGUGGAACUGCGGGAAAUGACAAAGUCCACCAAUAAAUUGCGACUAAACAAUCUUAAUAUACACUUGGGAUACUUUGGCUCACUGACGAUUUCAAGAAAGUUGAGAAUUCAUACAAACUGGUCAAGUGCGUGAGGUUCCUCAGCUCUUCUGGUAUAGGACCUGCCAGAUUCAAUGCGUACAUUUUCCUGCAGCAAUAACAGUGAAGCACCCAUCAGCUCGCACCAUCUCAAUUUAGCCUUCAUGGAUGUUCGUCGUCAGACAAACACCACCAGGUUAUGGAGCGCCGUCAAAUAACCGCACAAGCAAUAGUUGCAGAGAUAAGGACGAUGCACUAGCCUGCCACACUCUGAGUGCACGAACUGCCACCUCAGGUGGGCAAAUUAGAGCUGAUGGUGGGCGUACGGAUAGGAAGCGUGAGACACUUACAGCCUGGUGAUGUGGCAGACGGUGUUGUUCUGGUACGUGCAGUCGCAUUUGAUUCCCGGGUUCAUUUUUGGGUCAUUGUCGACGUCGGUGUCGUCCGUGGCCGCGCCGGCGCAAGGGUCGACGCCGCUGAACCAAGAUGGCCACAGUCUGCUCCCGAGUUUGUCAAACACCCCCUUCAGCGCAUCCGCUGCGAAUGAGACACAAACACGAAAACGCGAUCAAACAUCCUGCCCCUCGGCAGUCCGAGAAAAUUUUGCAAUAUGCUCCUAUGGUUUAAGAUAUUUAGACCCUGACUAUAACUUUUUGCAGGCCGAGAGCUUGCAUUGUGUGGCCGAGGGGGAUUGAUUUGUUUAGUAUUCAUGUGCUCUAAUGGUCGAGAGUAUUUUGGUGUUACAUAGCUGAUCUCCGAGAGUGAACAUGAUUUCCAGAGAAGCAAUCACCGACUAACCUUUACCGACCACAGAGAAUAUAUAAAAUAACAGAUCACCGCCAGGCACUCAACGCGUACUCUAGGCAAAAGUGGUGAAUCUAGUAGUGUACAGUGAUAGCUAGUCUUAAGCUUGUAAAACAUAAAAAGCAUUAUAAGUACCCUAAAAGCUUGGUGACAUAGUAACUUAUUUCUUUUUUAAUAAAAAAAUAUAUAUCUAGUAGGAAUCUUAGCCCCCACCUGUUCCUAAAAAAGUACCAAGACUCUAGCAGUCCUACCUCGGGGCUUUCUUAUUUUACAACAAAAAAAAAGGCAAUGGGGGUACUAAUACUAUGCAGCAAGAGGUGAGAACAAGAUGACAUGAAGAUGCACAAAAAUAUUUGUGCUCGAGAUGAAAUCUGUCCUGCCCUGCAAUGGACGAUUCCACUCUUUCACAACCAAAAUUUAUGCUCGAACAAGAUGCUUUUACCUUUACUAUCGGUUUCAUGACUACACGCACGCCGGCCUACAUGUUGCCAGCACAGCACAUGCGCCAACCUGUUUUGUUACGCCAUCUCAGCCCAGCCAGGUCUGUGUCAGGCAAGCAGCACGAACAUGUUUCUAUGUUUAGUAUCGAUUCCCUUUGUUUCAAAAUAUAGUUCAAUUUAGAUUUAUCCUCAAUCAAAUUUCUAUAAAUUUGAUAGGCAUCAGCAUCUACAACAUCAAAUUAGUUUCAGUGAAUCCACCAUGAAAUAUCUAUUUCAUGAUAGUGUAUUUUAUUUGGUAUUUUUUGACGAAGUCAGCAGGAAAGCCUCAACCUAUUUUUUUAAUUUUUUAUUCUAGAUCUGUUUAAUUCGCUUCCAAGGGGAGUCGAACUCGAACUCAGGUCUGCUGGAUACUGUUCAGGUGCUCUAACCACUAGGCUAGAUGCACUUUCACUAUUUUAUUUGGUAUUGUAGAUGUUAUUAUAUUUUUUUAUAAACUUAAUCAAAAUUAGAGGAAGUUUGAUUUAGUGAACUGAGCGUAGCUCAGCUGGUAAGGUCCCUUGUGGUGGAACCUGCUCAGUGGUAGGUGAUGCGCCCAUUGAUAGCGAGACGUCAGCGGUGACUUCAUCAAUCUCGAGGAUUUACCAGUUCAUUUUUCGGAGGUGCUCAUAGGGGUAAGGUUGCGUGCGUGUAUUCGUAGGGGCGAGUGUGCGUACAUGUAUAUGAGCGUCUACGUCUGUACUUAUGAUUCGCACUUAUGAUUCGCAGUAAAAAAGAGAAAGUUUGAUUUAGAAAAAACUAAUGAACUAUAUUUUAGAAUGGACUAAGUAAUCAAUUAGGUGCUGAUUUAUUUUUUUAAGACGUACAUAUGAGAAAGUUACCUAUCAAAUUAUUCUUACUAUAUUUGGUCAUUUAAAGACGACUCGUCAUGCUAGAUGACCGGAAGGAGUAGUAAAGAAUUAGUCUUAGACGACUCCACCGGAGACAGGCAAUGAAAACGACAACUAGCAAGUAACUACCACGACAAGCAGCCAUAAGGUGGUUGAAACUGCACAACAAGUCAACAACUAGCUCUCUAAGGAAGGUUGAUUUUUAGGGCAGUUCCAAAUCAUAGUUUCUAUGGGUAGUUUUUAUGUUCACAUAUCAUCAAGAUGCCACUUGUAGAUCUAAUCUCCCCAACCUAUAAUUUCUAUGGGUAGUUUCUACGUAUGAUUUCACGCAAGCAGCACAAACAAAGCUCGGUCAGCUGUGGCAAGCAACCGCGUAGCCUUCAUGCUGCCACAGUCCGAGCCAUUGAAAUUAAAAUAAAUUCAUUCGCAGCUGCUAUAAGAUCGAUCAACCUGGAAAGAGCCGCCAAGAGACGAUGCAGGCCAAAAUGCAGGAGCGAGAUGAGCGCUGGUUCGAUCAGUGCCUGGACAAAGUGCCAAAGUGGCGCUAGAAGCAACGGACGGAGAACUAGCGCCUGGAGAAAGCAACAGCAGCAGCACCAACAACUCGUCUGGAACUUGAAGAGGGCUUCCUCGAUUUCUUUUGAUGUACGCCUUUCUUCUCCAAUCGAUCCUUAGAAGCGGCGCGUGGGGAAUUGCUGGCGGAGGCUUGGUGCGCGGCCGCGCACGGGGGUGGCCAGCGGCGUCAGGCGGACACAAGCGCCGGAAAUUGGCACGCGCGAGCGAGGGAGGGGAUGGCCCGCGGCGCGCGCGUGAGGGAGGGUCGCGACGCGGCAGUAGCAGGCGCGCACGGAGCCUGGGGGUGGGUCGCGGCGCACAGCGGAUCGGGAAGAUGCGCAAGAAAACGAGGAAGAAAACCGUAACGCUGGCCCAACGCGAUUUCGGCGGUAUCUACGCACUUGAUUCGCGAGCUGACUCGGUUUCUAACAUGAGAAAAACAACGAUAUCUCGCUCUUUCUUCGUUAAACCACCUGCCACGUCAUUAGCCCCCUUUGUCACGGCUCCUUGAGGAGCUUCUCCACCGGCUUCUCAAGGAGCCGUGUCAAACACUUUCUUCAAAACAGCUUCUCCGGCGAAGCUGCCUAAAAAUCUGUUGAGAGGAGCAAAACGAGCAGGCGGAGCUAGGAAAAUGAGCUCCCCGCGGCUCCCUCAUCCAUCCUGCACCAUUCGGUACCAUAAUACCCCUGGAGUUUGCCGAAUUUACACCCAUUUUACCACUGUCUUCUUUUCUCUCUCUCCCCUAUCGCCCAUUCGUGGAGGAACGACGGGCGGCGACUAGCAGCGGGAGGUUCAAGCACCAGGAGGUGUGGCAGAGGUGGCCGGCAGUGGUACGCGGAAGCGGUGGCGGUGGCGGCUGGCAGCUGUAGGCAGCGCGGGCCAGGGAGAAAGAGAGGAGGAAAAUAGAAAGGCAGCUGGCAGCACGCGUGGUGGCCAGAGAAGGAGGCUAGGGGGGUGGCCGGAGAAGGAAGCCAUGGGAGCGCGGCACGCCGGAGAAGGUGAUGACAGGCUGAUCUGGUGCAGGGAGGUGCAGGGUCGCGAUGCGGUAGUAGUAGGCAUGCACGGAGCCUGGGGGUGGGUCGCGGCGCACAGCGCAUCGGGAAGAUGGGCAAGAAAACGAGGAAGGAAACCAUAACACUGGCCCAACGCGAUACCGGCGGUAUCUAUGCACUUUGGUGCGCGAGCCGACUCAGUUUCUCACCUGAGAAAAGCGAUUUCUUACUCUUUCUUCUUCCCUGUUUGGUUCCUUUAGUGCAUAGACUGGACUAAACUUUAGUCCCACCCCUGUUUGGUUCCAUGGACUAAGGGAGUGUUUGGCUCCCAGGGGUCAAACUUUAGCCCCUGUCACAUCGGAUGUUUGGAUACUAAUUAGGAGUAUUAAACAUAGGCUAAUUACAAAACUAAUUGCACAGAUGGAGGCUAAUUCGCGAGACAAAUCUAUUAACCUUAAGUCCAUGAUUUGAUAAUGUGGUGCUACAGUAACCAUUUGCUAAUGAUGAGUUAAUUAGGCUUAAUAGAUUCAUCUCGCGAAUUAGCCCAGGGCUUCUCUAAUUAGUUUUAUAAUUAACUCAUGUUUAGUCCUCCUAAUUAGCAUCCGAAUAUUUGAUGUGACAAAGGCUAAAGUUUAGCCCCUAGUAUCCAAACAGCACCUAAAAUGGACUAAAGUUCAAAAAUACUGUUAAACAAAGACCCUUUUACUCUUCUUCCCUACCCUCUUGGUAUCCCUGCGUCUACUCCUCCUCACACGGGAACUCCAACUACCGCUGGUUGAAGCUUCUCCAUCUCCAGCGCCAGUGGAGCACCGCUCGAGCAUGCCCAACCUACCCCGCCACAUGCGAACUCCCGCGCGGUGCAGGCAAGAUCCUUUGUGUGCCGGCGAGCAGUGGAGCGAGCAGAGGAUUGGCCCGAAUGGGGGAGCCUCGAAUCAGCGACAAGAUGGAGGCUCAUCGAUUCGGCCACAAGGUGAGCUCAAGGGGGCGUCGCGUUGAUUUGGACGCUGGGGAGGCUCGAUGGGGUGGCAAUGUGUCGAUUUGACCGUCGGAGGACCCCGAGGGGGUGGCGGCAGUCCUUCUCAUCGCCUCUCCCCCAUGGCGGGCUAGCACCAUCGUACAUUGAAGCUCCGCCAGCCUAGCUGCAGGGCAAGCGAGCUUCGAUAGUGCGGCCACGGUACGGUCGAGCGCCACCGCGUAGGUGAGGGCAGCAGUGGGCCGGCGGCGAGGGGAGGGGAGCAGCGGUGGGUAGGCACGAGCGGAGGAGCAGCGGCCGGACGUGGGGAGAGCGGCGGCGUGGGGAGGUGAGCAGGAGGGAGGCGGGUGGUGAUGGCAGCGGGCGGCGACGACAACGAGUGGGAGGGAGGCCAGGUGGGAGGGAGGCGGCGGGCGGGAGGGAGCCGGGUGGGAAGGAGGGCAGUAAAUGAGGGGUAGGGGUGUCCCAACACCCUUUAGUCCAGUUUUGUGGAUUAGAGGACUAAAGCCUUUUGUUCAAACUUUAGUCCACUGUUUGGGUGUUUAGGGACUAAAAGUGCACCAAAACUUUAGUCUAUGAGAACCAAACACCCCCUGAAUCACCUCCCACAUCAUUAGAUUGCUGAGAUGGUAACACCCCCUGAAUCACCUUCCACAUCAUUAGAUUGCUAAGAUGGUACUGUAUUGAAUGAUAUAGAAAUUGGGUGACUUGAAGGUUGGGAAUGCCCUUAAUAUUUUCUCACUUGGAUCCCAAUUUCAUCUCGUGGGCUUGCUCUGUUAAGUUUCCUCUCGUGCGGUUGAAACAGCUUUGGUUGUGGCUUCUCUGAUGGAGCGGUUUUUUUAGCUCUAGUUUGCUUGAUUGGAAAAACGUUUGGCAAAACAGCUUCUCUUGAUUGUUUUAAAUGGAUAAAAAUGUGAAAUGUCCAUACUACACUUACCUUUUUUUUCUUUUCUAUUUCUUUUCUUUUUUUUCAUUUUCCUUCCUCUUUUAUUGCUUUUUCCUCCACGGUUCCAACCGUUUCUCUCUGCCUACCUUAUCCUUUCACUCCAUCCCAGCGCCAAUGCCCGCGCAUGCUGAUGCGCCUCCAUCCUCAGGCCCUACCGCGCCUAGGGGCAAACUGGAGACUUCGGCCUUGCGGAUGGGACGAAGCUGCGGGGAGCCAAUUUUUUUUGGCUUCUCCUCCACCCUUAGCUCCUCUCAGCGCGAAUUGGGGGCUCCAUCGGUGGAGCCGUUUCGUUCUUCCCCGUUUGGCAGCUAGGGCUGCUCAAGAAGCCCUGUCCAAGAGGACCUUAUUCGUAGGCAAAACAUGAACGAAGUCAAAAGGCCAAAAAUCAUAACAUCAUACCAUUAAACGCACCCCUGUUGCCCUUCUACCCCAAACAUUUGGAACGAGAUAGUUUCUUGGACGAAUCGGGCAGAUGAUUCUCUAGAACAGAUCAGGGAUGACUUGCCUUGCCUUGCCGGGCAGAUGAUUCUUGGAAGAAAAUUACCGUGCCUUGCCAGGCUCGUGCCGGACCCUACUGGACCGCUCGUUUGGACAUCUAUAGCCAAGUGUGAAUUUUAUGGUGGGCAAGCAAAAGGCCAAACACGAUAUCGAUGGAUUGAUGCAAGCUGAUUUGAAACCCCCUCGCUAAUUUGAAAGAAAUAAGACAUGCACGCUUACCUUCAACCGGAUCGGUCCUUGUCCUCGCUUGCUGAGCUUGCGCAGAUGCAGCUAGAAGAAGCAGCAGCAGCAGCAACGUCGGGAGCGCAGCAGAGCCAUGGCGGCACGAACUGCUGGGUCCAGGCCUCCUCAUCUCCUUCCCCUCUCUCUGGCCUCGAGGUCGGGGUUGGCUACCCCUUCCGAGGCCGAGCGGGAUAUAUGGUGACCUGAUGGAGACUCUUAUGGCGAUUAGCUUGUCUCAGGGCCCCGCCGCCGCGGCAGACACGUACAGCUCCCUCGACGCUGCGCCACCAUGCAAGGACGGCGCAAUUAGGGAAUUUUCUAUGGUCAAGUGGCGCCACUGCUAUGUCGAACGCGACGGGCCAACAACUACCUCCAGGCUCCCACAUGGAAGCAGAGCCGAAGGCGAUCGACGACGACGGCUGACCGUGUUGUUCUGUGCGAGGAGACUUGCAGCUUGGUGACGUGGCAGACGGUCGCCGCUGAUGUUCCAUGCCGACGCCGCCGUUUAGCACUUUCAUUAAAUAUUUUACAUAUAUUCAAUAAUGUGGUGAAAUUGUGUUUUCUAUGAAGGCUUGUGAACUUGAUAUUACAAAUAUUAUAUAAUUCCAUCAUAUGCGUUACACUAAAGAACCAGAAGCACAGGAAUCAAUGGGUGAUAUUGCUCCACCUCGAGUGCAGAGUGGGAGUGAACUUACAUGUUCCAAAAUAUAAACAAUAUAAACUCUUGUUACGCUGCUGGAGAGGAGGCAUCGCUGGAGUCGCACUUCGCCUUGUUGGACACGCAUCACCCCUCUACUCUGUAUGGGUCUCUUUUGCGCAACUCCUGCUGGCUCCAGCUCCAUUACUGUAGCACACUAUAGUUUAUUGUAGUGCGUGCCGGAUCUGGAGUUGGGGGAGCAAUUUUUUCUAGAUUCACCGGCUCCUCCUCCAUAACUGUAGUGCAAUGUAGCUAAUCGUAGCGCAUAUCAGAUAUGGAUUUUGGCUCCUCCUCCAUAACUGUAGUGCAAUGUAGCUAAUCGUAGCGCAUAUCAGAUAUGGAUUUUGACUCUUCACUGCAGUACAACAUAAUAGUGAUACAAGUAGCGUGACACAGGAGACAAGAGCUGUGAGGGAGCGGUGCCAAAGGGGUCAUACGGGUGUCUUCCUCUAUUUUCUUUGCGACGGGAAGAGGUAAACAUACGGGUGGGGCAUCAAGCUAAGUGCACGAGAUUGUGCUCAGAGAAAAUCUUGCUGCUUCUUUUUUUAAUCAUAGAUCGGGUUGGCAUCGUCCUGUCGUUCUGUCAUAAAUCAUAUAUAUAGAUCCGGAUAGACCAAACCCUCCAACAUCAUCAUUUGGUCCUGGGCUCAAAAAAUCAAACCAAAACUUGACCCGAAAAAGAAAAUCGAUCUAAGACGGGCGAAGCAACAAUCGAUCAGAGCACAUAACCUAACACAAAAUACGUGCAAAAGCUGAAUAUAUAUCCUCAGAACGUUUGUGACGUGCAUUUACAGAAAACUGUCCGUCAACUUGCAAAUCACCGGCCUUCUUCUCGGAGCUGUUAGAGGUUUAGGCAUUUUACGGCAUAUUUUAAUUCCGAAUAUUUUUAAGUAAAUUAUGGUCAUUGUGAGUGAUACAGACCGUGUGCAAGUGUUUUGUUUAAAACACGUUUGAACGUAAACAGAACCAAAAGAAAGAACCAGAUAAGGUUCAAUAUGUACCCAGGGGCGGGAUCAUUGCUGAAGGCAAUGGGUGCGCCGUUCCUAGAACUGGAUGCAUCAGACAUUGUGUCUAAAAUGUCGGUUCGAGCUGUUCGAUGUAGUUGAUCAAAGUUGAUGCAGUGUUGAGUUGGUGCAGAGCAGUCCCUUGAACGGCCUCCAGGAUGUAGCAUGACGCGCAGAAGAUGCGCUUCCCCAAAACUUGAUUGCCUGCCUACUCGUGCAAGUGUCGCAGCAGGAUGAAGUUUCGGAGACCUGCGCGUAGAGGCUCGCGAUGGGAAUGUCAAGAUAGCAGCGGGCAACAGCAAAAAAAAGGGGAGAGACGCGUGCGCGGCUCGACGAGGCGAGCAAGCGCACGCGCGGCACCCUUUCUCUCUUCCUCAACUUCUCAAUUAGUGCACACAUAGUCCAUCUAUUUUAGUUAGUUAAGAUACUCUUAACUAUCCAGCUAGAAUUAACCACUUUAUCCAUCUAGCAUUACACGUGGAUCCUGAGAUUAAAUGAAUUAAAUCGGCCUAACCUGAAUAUUCAACAGGAGCUAGCUAAUGAACGGCGAAGAGGUGUGCGACGAGGUGGCCCUUGGGGCCAAGCUCGACUGCCCGCUCAUAUUACUGCUCAUGAAGCUGCUGGUGUUGCCUCCCUUGAUCUGCCAUUCGGUGAUGUAGCUGGGCUUGUUCACCACCUCGCCCACCUCCACGUCGUCCCCGGCCAGCAUCGACACAGCCCGAGACAUGGACGGCCGCUGGUGGGGCGAGCCCUGGGUGCAGAGCAGGGCCACGUGGAUGGCACGGAGCACCUCGUUGCUGUUGAAGUCAGCAAUACAGUUGCCAAACCUGAAAGCACAGAAAAUUAUCUAGAAAUGCUAAGAUGCCAGGCUAGCGUGACAUGUGUUUAGGGACGUUUCAUUUACCAAAUAUAAUCUCGUAGUAAUAAUUUAUAGACGGGAUUAAAAUCAUUGGUGAGUUGUAUGGUAAUAAUAAGUAUAUCGGUGAAUGAGUAUUCUUUUUUAGUCAACGGGGGGAGUGCCCCACCUGAUUCAUUAUAGACCAGCACGCUAGCACGCUUCCAUUAUUGGUGAGUUGUAUGGCAAUAAUAAGUAUAAGCCCCCUGCUCUUUUGGCUAGCACGCUUGCUCCCACCCAACAAGACAUUGAGCUCCACUAACUGUAUCUUCCCCGGACCACAGGAAACGUCAUCGUCGGCAAUUGAGAGCGUCAAUGUUCCCUGGGGGCAGAAGGAGCACUGACAUAGCGUAGGUAAGCUGGCUGUCCAUGACGCUAUUGAUCAGCACUGCAUGGCCCAUUGGAUUCAGUAGGGAGGCGUGCCAGCCGCUGAGAUGCCUGUCCGCUCUAGUGAUCAGAGGGCUGAACACGGACAGACGUAGCUUCUCGUGGGACAGUGGCAGCCCCAGGUAGGUUUGGGGGAAGCUGCCAAGUUGGCACCCAAGAAUACUCUGAAGCGCCGUGGUAGUCGAGCUGGAAGUGUUCAUUGGCAUCAUGGUACUCUUGUUGAAAUUGAUGUGCAGCCCCGUGGCCUCGCAGAACAGAUCAAGCACCUGCUUCAGCGCCACCAGCCCGUCUUGAUCUGCCUUGAGGAGGAUGAGAGUGUCAUCGGCAUAUUGGAGCAUGGGGCACGGCUUCCCCGAGGCGGCAGGGUGUGAAAUCCUCUGGUCGAGCUUGAUCAUCUGCUGAAGGACGUCAGCGACCAGAAGGAAUAGGUAGGGGGAUAGUGGAUCCCCCUGCCGUAGGCCUCUUCCACAGGCGAACCACGGGCCAGGAACACCAUUGACAAAGACAACAAGCUUCAAGGUUUGCAACAUGCUCGUGAUCCAGUUGCACCAGAGGGGCGGGAAGCCUCGCGCAUCCAUGAUGGCGUUGAGACUGAGCCAAUCCACGGAGUCGAAGGCUUUGGCGAAAUCAAGCUUCAGAACCAGGGUGGGUAGCUUGCGGCAGUGGCAGCACUGGACGAGCUCCAUCGCGUAGAUGAAGUUCUCAGAGAUCGAGUGCCCCUUGAUGAAUCCUGUCUGGUCUGGAUCGAUGAGGCGGGGGAUCUAGUGUUGCAGCCACGUCGUCAGCAUCUUAGAGAUGAUCUUCAAGGAGCAAUUUUGCAGGCAGAUUGGGCGGUAGUCCCCCGGCGUUGUGGCGGCGGCAUGUUUGGAGAUCAUGACAAUGUAUGAGCGAUUCAGAUGCUCAAGCUCCGCAGUACCUGCCUGGAACGCCCAGGCCAGCUCCAUGACCGUCGGCACCACCGUGGACCAUGCCGCAGCGUAGAAAGCUGGCCCGAAGCCAUCCGGUCCAAGAGAGCUAGACCGGUUCAUCGAGCACACCGCGAUGCGCGCUUCUAGCUCCAUGAACGGCGCCAGCAGAGUCGCCUCGUCCACCCUUUCUGAUUCGGCGUAGAGGGCCGCGACGCCGAUGGAGUCCGAAGCUGCCGUGUUCACGCGCAGGAGCCCUUGGUGGUGAGAGGUCAGCGCGGCUGUCUUGUCCUGGUGCGAGGACACCACGACGCCGUCCACCUCUAGGGCCCGGAUGUUGUUGCAGUGCAGGCGCUGAGUGGCCUGCGCAUGGAAGAAGCGGGUGUUCGCGUCGCCUUCCUGGAUGGCGUGGUGUUUCCCGCGCUGCUUCCAGUAGGCCGCGCGUUCGCGCAGGACCAGCACAAGGUGGUCCUGGCAGUCGCGGCGUAAGAGAUGUUCACCUGCAGAAAGACAACGGCCUUCCUCAAGCACAUCAUGAAGAUAUAUCACAAACUUGCAAUUAGGGAGAAGGAUGGGAGGAACGCUCUUACGUCGCGCCCAAGCCUUGGACGCGCACCGAACUGCUUUGAGCGAGCCAACAAUGGCCGCAGCCACGCCGUGCGUCGAGCCUCUGAGCCAGGCCGGGAGCACCGCGGGUAGGAAGUCGCUGUGUUUGAGCCAGGCGUUCUCAAAGCGGAACAGGUUUGCUUUUGGGAUGGUGGUGAACAUGGGGAGCUGAAUUGGCGUGUGAUCAGAGGUUGGCUUGGGCAAAGAGUAGAGGGAGGAGUUGGGGAAGGAUAGGCUCAUAGGGACGUUGAAGAAGACACGGUCGAGGUGGGUGAGAGUGGGAGUGCUACGGUGAUUGGACCAAGUGAAGAGGUGGUCUAGAAGAGGGAGAUCGAUGAGACCAAGAUGAUCAAUGGUGAAAUUGAACGCUACACUGAGAGAGGCAUUGGCAGAGCCGUUGCUAUUUUCCUCGCCCCCACGGGUGAGGUUGAAGUCGCCAGCAAGCGCCCAACUCCCUGGAACGUGACCGGCGAUCUCCUCCAGAUUCUCCAGGAAGGGCAGAGAGUCGGGGUGAUCAGCCGGAGCAUAGACGUUGGUGACGGCGAAGGUGUAGUCAGAGGCUGUGGACGAGAGGAACGUCGUGAGGGUGUGCUGCCUGAUGAUACAGGAGGUGAGGGUGAACGCAGUGGAGUCCCAGGCAGUCACCAUGCCGCCGCGGGUUUCAUUGGAGUCGACACAGCGAAAAGCAUCGAGGUUGACGGGAAGGAAGGAACGAGCUCUCAGGCUGUCGAUGGCCCUGAGCUUCGUCUCCUGAAGGCACACAUUGUUAGAACGAGCAGAAGUUAGCGUGUCGCGAACAAUCGUGCACUUGUUCUUGUCCCCAAGCCCACGGACGUUCCAAGAGAGAAGAGAGAAGGAGACAGUGCUAGAGUUCAUUGGUCCAGGAACAACACCAAAUCGCCCCUGCGGAACACACCACAGGAGGGAGACAGAAGCGCGUGGUACAGGAGGGAUAUUAUCUUAAGAACGUGAGGACAUUAUUGCUGACAGCAACCUCAAACUGAGAGGCGCCUCCCAGGAAAAGAAACAAAGCGAAAGGCAAGAACAAACUUAAUUACAAAUAUACAAUCGAGCUAAUCAGAUAGAACACCUCGAAAAUUAUCUUUUUUUAUCGCAGGAGCGCUGAAUAGGACUUACCUUCAGUUGGAUCUGUCCUCGCAGCUGGUGCUUGCUGAGCUUUGGCCGACGCAGCUAGGAGAAGCAACGCGGAGAGCACGUAGCCACGGAGGGAAGAACUCCGUGCUAACCUCAUCUCCCUCCCUCGGUCUGCUGUCGCUUAGCUUGGAGCCUUGGACCUUGGGACGCUAGCCUUCUUUAAUAUUGAGGGAGAUUUCACAACGAUCCAGUCUUUUAGAAAUGGACAUGUUUACUUCAACUGGAACCUCUGCUGUCUAAGGAAAGGUGCACGAAACUUCAAGUUCUAUAGGAGAAACUCAUCAGCAUAUAUAAUAGUGAAAGAAAGUCAACCAAGGUGAUUGAGGGACAGAAGAUACUUGAAGCCAACAAGGGACAGAAGAGAAGUCGAUCAUAUUGCAAACAGAGAUAUAUGUCUCGUCCAGGGUCCCCAAAAAAGGCAACCACUGACAUUUGCAACAAAAUAACUUAUGUGGCGCAAUGUCAGAUUCAAAGUGACUAAUGAAGGGUUUAUGCAAUUUUACUUUUAAUCAUUCAUUGAUUCAAGACUUUCAUGUUCCAGAUUUCUCGGAAUGAAAUGUUUGUGAUGGAUAGCUUGUAGGAAUUCGAACCAAUUCAACAAAGUAAUCAUGGUGACGGGUGCCUAGACUAGAGGUACUCUCAAAGCAGCAGCACCUCAUGCACUUCUUCCAAUGGAGAGCUGCCGAUUAUAUUAAAAAUAAGAAAACAAAUAGCGCCGACUCAACGUGGAACCAACGUGUUCUCUCGUACACCCCGGAAUCAGGAGAAGCAUAUAUCUGGUUCACCCAAGGUUUCUCCGAUCCAGAGAAAAAGCAGAGAUGAGAUUGCGAUAGCAAAGGCUGCUGCUAUCAGAACGUACGUGCAGGGACGAACAUCUCGCGAGAAGCUUUUUCUAUCUCAGUAAAAGAAAAAUAAUUCGGGACGGACUGGACAUACCUUUCAGUUGGAUCUGUCCUUGUUGUUGGUGCUUGCUGAGCUUUGGCCGAUGCAGCUAGAAGCAACAGCACGGAGAGCACGGAGCCACGGAGGGAACUAGUCCAUUUUAACCUCAUUUCCCUCUUCGUAACUGCUCUCGCUUAGCUUGGCCGUGGCCCUUCCGAGGAAAGCAAUCUUGUUCCGUGUCCAAAAAUCUGCUGAUUCAUCAUCAUAGAAGGAAAUCAAAGCAAAUAAAGCAGCAGUCAAAGGCACACGACUGACUGGGGAUACGCGGUCGUUUGGCAACAUUAGUACUGAAGACGACUGCAUGACUGACUGACAUUUUCAAGCUUUGGAUUCAUCCACUCGAACCAUUCAAGACUGUCAUGGUCUAGAUAAUUAAGGCGAUUUCCCAGGAUGGGAUGUUUGCUAUGGACAGAAGCUGGAACAAUUCAACGAAGUAAUAAUAAAGGCCAACCACUUCCGAUACUGACACAUAUACAUCUCAGAGUUCUAACUUUCGCCGUGCGGCUGCUUUUGGUCUGAAGUGUCAACUACUAGUUCGCACAUGCAUAAUCAGUCCAGUUUACACCACGGGAAAUCAAUUUCAUGAAGAUGAAAAAACUACUAGGUACUUCUUCCGUUUCAAAAUGUUCGGUUUUUAAACUUUUUAGAUACAUAAAUUUUGCUAUGCACCUAAAUAAUUGAGGUAAAAAUGAUUGUUAAGUAGCAAUGGGUACUUCCACCACGUACUUUUUUAAAAAAAAUUACACUGUUGAUCCAAGUAAUGUAAUUAAAAAAUAAAUUAAAUUAGUACCGGUCCCACUGUUUUUGUACUUGGUCUCCACCUAUUUGGUACUUCUUGUUACUUUUCUCUAGAUACCUCUAGGUACUUUCUACCUUUCCACCGCACGAUUUUUCUGGAUGGACGGCUCUUAUUUUUUCCAAUUAUUGAAAAUAUUUUCAUCAACAAAACCAAAACGACCUACAUUUUGAAAUAAAGGGAGUAACUAAUAGUCUAAUACCUUAGCAUUGACAAGGGCUUGUUCAACGAGAGUGGAACGACAUAGACACAAUCUCCUUGCAUUUAUCGAAAAUUUAGCAUUUUUUCCCUUCUGUUCUGCUGAAGAAUUUGGCCUAAUCCUAUGAACCCAGGCAAGUGCCUACGGAGAGAAUUUGAUGCCAGGUCCGCCAUUGGAUCAAAGUAGGCACGGCAAUGGAAUAAUGGAUAAUAACCGUCAUAUGCAGUGAUAUAAGGCUUAUAAUCCACUAUGCAAAACUAACAAUCAGGGCACCAACUGUGAAGUGUGUAUCUACACACAACGUAUUCCGUGGAUAUGGCUGCUAGGGGGGCGAGCCUUGGGUGCGAAAGAGGGCCAUUUGGAUGGUGCACCUAACGAAUCUUACACACAUCCAAAUCUUCAAAGUGCAUCCACACCAAAUAAUAUAAUCCGUUGCUUGACAGAAGCUUAUUUGAAUCUGAUGAUCAUUGACCAUCAUCACCGGCCUUCCUCGAUGAGGGAGCUCAGGUACGACGAUGUCGAUGCCGACAUGCCGACCACCUCCCUCUUGCUCGAGCUCGCCUGCCACUCGGUGACGUAGCUGGGCUUCGUGACUGCCUCUGGCACUUCGAUGUCUUCUGUGAGCAUGGACACCACCUUUGACAUGGAUGGCCGCUGCCGAGGUGAGCUCUGGAUGCAGAGGAGGCCGACGCGGAUGGCACGGAGAACCUCGUCGCUGACGAAUUCCAUGAGACUCGGGUCCACGACGUCGAGAGGACGGCCUUCCUCGUACAAUUGCCAGACCUGAAAGCGUAGGGCUCAUGCAUGUAGGAGAACUUCACUGUUGUAGGAAUGCAACAAACUAUUUUUUUUCAUAUGAUUCCAAAUUCUAAGAUCCACAUAAUGCUGCCAUUUUAAAAUUUAACACGCUGUGUCAGCUGCUUAGAUGCUAACAAGGUCUUAUAAGUGACACCAUAUGCAUGACUAGCAAUUUCUACGAAAAAUGUAUUUGUCUCAAAUAAAUAGCAUUUUUAUGUUGAAUUUAGUAUAUGAACAACUUUUAAAUUUUUAUGUUGUUAAUCUAAAUAAUUCUUCAUGUAGUGCUGCGCAAAGCUAAAACUGCUGCACAUUUUAGAAGAGGGACACUGGAGCAUAGAUCUUUAGAUCAAUAACUUAUAUUCUGUGUCCGAGGGAGUAACAAAACUUUCCCUCUUCUAAACAAGUGCCUAUCAACAACUAGCAUUCUGUACAUAGCUUAUUUAUUUGACUGCAUCUCUUUUUAUAUAAUUCAAUGAUGUCAAAAUUAUGGUUAAGUUUUUGAAUAAAAAAUCUUAUGAACGCACAUGAGCUUUAAUUUUUAUGUUAUAUAAGUGCCUAUCAUAUAUAUAUAUAUUCCCAGUUACCACAUGAAAAACUGCAAUUUGACCUGGGUCUAAAUUUUGUAGUGACUUUACCCAUUCUAAAAGAUAGGCGCUGUCUUCGUCAAGCCUAUCAUCAUAGUUUGGCCUUCCAGCUAUUGUUUCCAAUAUGACCACGCCAAAAGCAAAUACAUCAACUUUCUCCGUUACAUGACCUCUCAUGGCGUACUCAGGUGCUAGAUAACCACUUGAAAGAAGAGCAGAAAAAUAAUGUUAUUAGCUCACAGAUUAAUCAAACUAAAGUAUAAACUUUCUGCAAUUGUAUAAAGGUGCACUCCAGUGUGCAAGAUAACCUCUCAUUCCCUACUUACUAUAAAUGGGGCAAGAUGCAAAUGCGCUUACAAUGUACCGGCAACUUUUGUGCUGACAUGCGUCUUCUUGUCAUCAUAAAGUUUAGCGAGUCCAAAAUCUGAGAUCUUAGGGUUGAAAUUGGUGUCAAGUAAGAUAUUACUGGCCUUUAUAUCCCUAUGCACAACACGGAUGCUAGACUCUUCGUGCAAAUAAGCUAGACCUCUUGUAAUGCCUAAGCAUAUCCCAAAGCGUGUAAGCCAGUCUAGGUUCUUUCUCCCACUUCCUGCAAAUGAAUGUUUAAGUUAUACGAUGAACUCCUGGAGGGCCGGAGUUAUAUACAGUUGCAUCAAAUUGAAUGAACCUGUACCAAACAAUGCUUUAUCAAGACUUCCAUUCUCUAAGUACUCGUAAACCAGCAGUGGAUUUUCGCCCUCAAGGCAGCAACCAUACAACUUCACGAGAUUCCGAUGUUGCACUUGGGAAAUAGUUUCUAUUUCAGCUAUGAAUUGCUUCUUCCCUUGACGAGAUGUUUCAGAUAGCUGCUUUACUGCUACCAUGCUUCCAUCGGUCAGUUUACCCUGCGAAAAUGUGGCAUUUUUCAAGAAUGUAAGUUUCAGACACCUCAUUAUCACGCAUAUAAUGGACAAAAUAAAGAUACUGCCAAGCUAACCAUGUCGGGCAACUAUAAAAGGAACUAGUAGAGAGCAACAAAAGGGAAAACCAAUGGGGAAUGUGUGUGUAGAUUGAUAUUACUAAAAGAAUAGGUGAAGCAUUGCCCAGAAGUAGAGGUUUAUUAGUCAAUUUGCAUACAGAAAAAGAGCUCUGAUGUGCACUACUUAUGUACGUGGAAACUUAAUUUCAGAGGUAAAUUAAAAUUCCAUAGCAAAUUUGCAUCCAUGUCACCAUGUGUAGUACAGAUGAACUAACCUUAUAAACUGCCCCGUAUCCUCCUUCACCAAGAAGGUUAGUGGAAUUAAAAUUUUCACUAGCGGUCCUUAGUUCACCAUAACUGUAACUAAAUACAUUUGGUCUUCCAACACAACUGUACAGCUCUGCAAGAAUCACAAGAGAUAAGUUUAUGAGCACAACCUCUUUGUCUGGUUUAAGAAUACACUGUGAACCUGUCAUAUCAUGUACCUCGUUUGUCCAAUGACAAUUUUCUACUUUUCUGCUUCAACACAUAGAGUCCAGAGAGCACCACUAGUCCUAAAACUGCUGCACCAACCCCAACCCCAACAGCUACACCUGUAUCGCUAGUACGCUUCGUCUGGGCAUCAUUACGUACUGCAGGAUUGAAAUCUGUCCAAAAGUCCACUUGUUAGAACAAAUGAAAUCUUGGAUUUGGAUCCUAUGUUAAGUGUUUAUGAAUUUUCACUUUUUAAAAGUACUUGAGAAUUCAGCACCGGUUCAGAGUGGAUCUGUAAUUCUGUAUCACUAUUAUACAUGUAAGAGUGUUGGUUCAGUCAUCAGCAUUCUCCUAAUGGGAACUAAGUUGACCCCGCGAAAAUUAUCUAAACAGUAUAGAAACGUUGGUUUAUAGCCAACGGGAGUACUUGGAAUUGCACUCAAAGCAGAGAUCGAAGGCCCAUAAUAGCCUGGACUAGGGAUGCAACAAGUGCCCUUGCCAGCCCAGAAAAGAUGAAUCUCAAGGAAGUUUCUGGUGACAGGAACAGUAUACUGCUUCUUGACAGCAGUGUAAGAUUUCCCGCCUGCUGCCUUUCUUAUGUCAAAGUUCUGCUCCUUACGCUCACCCUGUACCAAAAGCAAGAAAAAACAAUUAGAAAAUCUCAAUCAGCCCAUAAGCUAAAAACUCAAGUAAGUGUAAGUUAUCAGCAUGACUGGAAUCUACCUGAACAUAGAUAUCGAAAACCCUUUUACCUAAACUCUUCCAAGUCUGCAUGUCUUCGAACUCAAACUCUGCAAAUUGAAGUGUGACUGUAUAGUUUCCAUUCUCAAGUCCAAUGCCAUAGUAGCGUAAUGAUGAUGGAGACAUCCUUGCUGUCUGGAACAGUUCUGAAUCUAGAGUUUUCUGAAACUGGCGUGAGCUGUAGAUUAUGUAACUUCCAUUUUGUGAAUCCAUGAACCUCCCAACAUUGCUAACACCCCAUGUCAGUGCUCCUGUAUCAUAAUAGGAAGCAGGUCUAACAUAAUAGGAAGCAGGUCCCAGAUCGGUGUUGUCAAUAAAAUAAUUUGAGCCUGAUAUAGAUCUAGAGCUCCCACAGUCCACAGCAAAGGAGGAAGCUGCAAGCAUGUUAAAUUAUUUAAUACUGAUGUUAUUUAGCGCAUCCUUAAAGUGCAAAAGUGGAAGCUCACGUUGUGAAGGGUAAGGAAAGCAGGGUGUGUCUCGCUGAAGGCACUAUAGCCCCGAAGGUAAGGCACUGAAGAUGUCAAACAUUGUCAAUUUGAAUCCAAAAUAUGAGCUGACAGCCUGAGAGAACAUAAAAAUUGUGCUUGAACACUUUAAUGACCUAUUUGAAUACAAACUGACUUAUUAUUAUUGAAGUCGUCGAUUAUGAAAUUGUUCGCCACCAAAUUCCUAUGUAGAAUGAAACAUGCAAAAAACGUUAGAAGGCGCUAUUGUGGAGAAUCAAGAGAAACCAAAGCAGGGACAAAAUUGAUUCAGUUUUUUAAGAUAAGCAGUAAGGUAAAGUACACAUCUGCUUGUUCAAAGAUUCUGAAUCAUAGAUGACGUGAAAUGCAAAAAAAAAAAGAAAAAAAAAGAAAUAUGAUCUAGGUGCAGCAAAAGCAGCUUUUUAGAUGUAGUCGAUAUUAAAAAAUGCUAGUUUAAUACAUGUGUAUGACAUUGGAUUAUCUUUAAAAAAAUAGUAAUAGGGCUGAAUUUUCGGUCAGUCAAUCAAGCUUGCAAAACACAGCACAUACAAUUUCAAAAUCAGACUAACCCAGGAGGGAAAGUUUCCUGAUAGCUGGUUGUAGGAAAAGUCUCUACACAAAAGAAAGCGUGUAAAUGUUAUAGAUAAACGCCUUCCUGGUUUUACUUCACAAAUGAAAGUGGACAAACAUACAAGUUUUUAAGAGAAGUUCCUAUAGAACUUGGAAGGCUUCCUGAAAGACUAUUAUUCCCGAGAAACCUGGGCAGACCAAAUUUGCGCAUUAACAAGAUUGAUGAUCAUUGUCAUCAGAACCUAGAAAUAAGUAUCAGAAGGCAAGAUAAACCAUACAAGAAGCUGAGUGAAUUCAGAUUCAGCAGAGCUUGUGGUACCUGGCCAGUGAUAUUGUUAAAACUCAAAUCCCUGUAACAGUAGAACAAAUGAGACUAGGAGAGAAAGGGGUCAUCAAACAAUGCAUAAUCCACAGCAGUUCAUUAAAGCAUCUAGCAAAACAUACAGUUGACUGGAGUUUAGGAAGAAACAAAAUGUCUUACAGUAGGGUUAAUGUUGCAAACUGUGAAAAGUUUACUGAUGCCAGGUUAUCAGAUAUCUUGCAGUUCCUCAAAACUCUGCAAUGAAACAUGUCAAGAGUUUUCAGAUUUAACAAUUGGUUACACUACAGAAAAUAUUAAGAUGUAGUUUGAGUCAUCAAAUGAAUGGCAAGUUAUGCAUACAAGGUGUUCAAAGAUGUCAUGUUACUGAUGAAUGCCAGUGAAGAACUUCCAUUUACUAUGUCACCUAUUCGUCUGCACCACAGGAAUAGAUAGUUCAUUCUUCCCAUCCGCAGGUCUUGAAAUUUAAGGAUGAUAGUACGUACUCUUUCCAUAAGUAGUCACUUACAAGCUUGUCAGUUCGACGAGAUUAGAAAGUGUGGUCGGAAGGGGACCUUGAAACGAAUUGCCUUGAAACCGCCUACAAAUUGAAAUUAUUGUUACAAUUUUUCAAGCAUCAUUUAUUUACCAAUGUGUUUACCUACCCUAGUAAAGAAACAAGAAAGAUGGGACUUCUUAGGUAAAACAAGAAAUUUAUAAUGAAAAGUAUUAGAAAAAAGUUCAAAGAUUACUAAUACGAGUACCCAAAACGUAGCAUCGUAUUAUAAUGAAUAGUGAAACAAAAAGAUUUAAUAUUUACUAAUAUGAUAAUAAUAGCUCACACCUGACCUAAAUAAAUUAGUUAAGAGGCCACUAAAUGGAAAUCAGUAGAGUAAAAGACACAUACACUUUUCUUUCGUUUUUUUUACUUGAACACACAGGAGAACUAUGUGUCAUUGCAUUAAGAAGACAAAAGUGCUGAAAAUUUAUAGCAGAUUUUUGAUCAUCACAUUCGCACCCUUGAAUAUGUGGAUACUACCCGACUACUUGACUCUAUGCUCUAGUUGCUACUAAAGCCACUAAGUCCUUAGCACUGACAAGACACCAUAGGUGAGCUUCUUUCUCAGGCUCUCAGCAACCUGUAAUAGGUGCUGGAGUGAAAGACCUAGACACUAAUCAGAAUGAACUCAUUUACAUAUGGCAACGAGUGAAGUAGGUAUAAAAUGAAUGUCCUACUUCAGUACCAACUUAAGUUCUGAUAAAAAUAAAGAUUGACUUGUGGAGAGCUAUAGCUUGUUGUAUCUAUACUAUUUGGGGUGAAAAAAAGGACCAAACAAUUAUGAAAAUGAAACAACAUAUGUUGCUAUUUUCAAUUAGGAAAUGAUUGCAAAUAAUGAAGAUUAAUUAAGAAAAAACUUACAGUUCUGUUAAAUUAGCCCAGUUCCCAAUAUAAUCUGGUAUUUGCCCAGUAAAAUCGUUAUCUGAUGCCCACCUGAACACAAAGAACAGUAACAAAUAGGAUUGAGUGGAAUGGAACAGUACAGUCAACAAAACAUCUCUUAUAUGCAUACAAUGUUUUCAUCUUGUAAGACUGGAUAGCGAUGAUGGUAAGGGACCACUUAAGCCAGCGCUGUCAAUAUACCUGCAAUUAAGAGAUGCAAAUAUAAGCAUAGAAAUAAGGAGCCGACUAAUUCAAGCAAACAAUUGUAGGAAAGAAAUAUAUAUAGUGCCCAAAACAAGUUAACACGCACAGUUGCUCAAGUUUAACCAAAUUCCCUAGUUCCAACGGAAGGGAAUCAUUUAAGUUGUUUGAGCUAAAGGACCUGAAACCCACCCAAAAAAAUAUAGGUUAAUCACAAAAAAUGAGAAAUAUCUAUUCCUAGAAGCAUAAUUACUGGCAGAAAGCUACAUUUCUAGACAGUGGUUAAUCAGUUGAAGGAAUGAAGAUGUUAAGUAGAGAUCUCUAACCUUUCCUAGUGAAAUACAGUGAUACAAGAUUAGUAAGGUUCCACAUUACAAAAAUUUAUUUCUUACAGCAUUACGAGAUUGGUAAGGUUCCCGAGCUCCUUUGGAACAGAUCCGGAUAAUGAAUUGAUGCUCAGAUUCCUGUGUAUUGAACAGAAUGAGAUGAUGUUUUGAUGUUAAGCAAAAAUAUGUAAUGUAAUAACGGUUUAAGAUUCAAAUCUCACAUGUACUGCAUAGCAGUCAAUUUCCCGAGGAACGACGGUAAAGGCCCUGUUAAGUAAUUUUGUCCUAAGUUCCUGAAACAACAUCAGAAAAGAUAUUAACAAAGAUUAAAGUUGGCUCAUCAUGUUUGAAUUUGAGUGUAAUGUUGGAAUAUGGUAUUUCCAGAAUAUUACAAUUAUGCUGAACCUCUAGAAUAUCUUCAUAAAGAAAUAGGUCAUAGGCAUCAGCUAUUUACAAAGUCCCCCAAAAACCACAAUCCACAAGUAAAAUCCUAUUGGACCCUUCAGGUACAAUGCAAGAAAGUUGAGAGUUCAUACAGAUUAGUCAAACGCGUGAGGUUCUGUAGUUCUGCUGGUAUCGCACCAACCGCAUUCAGCGCAUAUAUUUUCCUGCAAGCGAGAAAAGUCAAGUAAAUGGACCGUCAGCUCACACUAUCUCAAUUUAACCAUCAUCAUCGCUGUUCGUCAGAUAUAAACACCAGCAGGAGGCGUAUGGAGCACCGCUGAAUCCUCUAGCUAGCACUUUUCAGAUACAGAGGUAACAACGUACUAGCACAGCGAGGCGGACGCAUCGCAUACCCAAAGGCUCGGUACAAACAGCGAAACCUCCGGCAGGCCAUCCCUCGAACACCUGCCGUGCGGAGCGGCAACACGUGAGCUCUGAGUUGGCGACUUACAGCUUUGUGACGUGGCAGACGGUGUUGUUCUGGCCGGAGCACUCGCACUUGAUGGCCGGGUUGAAGUUCGGGUCUGUGUCGAUGUUGGUGUCGUCCGUGGCGGCGCCUGUGCAGGGGUCACCGCUGAUGUUCCAUGCCGACGCCGCCGUCUGGCCGAGCUUGGCGAACACCGCGUUCACCGCCGCCGCUGCAACGAUAUCGAAUUGAAACCGUGAUCAGAUUCACAUGUGACGGCGAAAAGGUAAGUCUACUACACCACCUAGCUUGGCCGUCUUUUAAUUUCUUCCAGGAGGAGGAACGUAUAAUUUUCAAGCGAAUGAGGAUGAAACAUCCUCACGUGAAAGCAGUUUAUACUUUCAUAGGAGUACAUGAGAUGGAACCUACAAUCCCCUAGGAAAGCUGAUCGAUCAGGAACGAACAGCUCAUGGAAAGCUCUUUUUUAAGAUAAAGGAAUGAUAUCCGGCCUUAACAUUCACAAGUGAAUAACAUUCAUGGAAAGCUCUUAUGUUUCAGGAAUAGGAAACGAGGUGGGCAUACCUUCAGUUGGAUCUGUCCUUGUUCUUGGUGCCGCUCGUCGAGCUCCGGCAGAUGCAACUAGAAGAAUCUGCAGCACGGAGAACACGAAACCUUGUAGACAAGAACUCGAUUUCAACCUCAUCUCCCUCCUGCAUCUGCUCCCGCUAGCUUGGGCGCCGUCGCACUACUAACGUCUCCUAGCCUCAUAAGAAGUUUGUUUGUUUUUCCACGCGCAAUAAAUUUGCAUCUGCCAUGAAAACAAUUGCACAUGAGUGGCUACAUACUUUUCAAAGCCUUCUCACACUCCUUCACAACUAAAUAAAGCUCGUGCCGACAUAUAUUAGCCCAGAUCAUUCAUGACUGUCACUGUCAUGUUCUAGAUUUACCCCGGAGAAUAAUGAAAUGUUUGCAAUGGACCAAUUCAAUUUAAUGUAGCGCGUGAGGUGGGGGAGCAAACUUUUCUAGCUUCACCAGCUCCUCCUCCAUAACUGUAGUGCAAUGUAUCUCAUCAUAGCGCGUGCUGAUCUGAAGGUGGAGGUGGGGGAGCAAAUUUUUCUAGCUUCACCGACUCUUGUUCUUCCUCAUUUCCUUUUUAGCUUCAAUAUGGGUUGACUCCUCGCUGCAGCACAGCACAACAGCUAUACAAGUAGCGUGAUAGAGGAGACACGAGCCGUGAGGGAGCAGUGCCAAAGGGUCAUACGGGUGUCUUCCUCUAUUUUCUUUGCAACAAUCGAUCGCAGCACAUAACCUAACACAAAAUAUGUGCAAAAGCUGAAUAUAUAUAUAUAUAUACGGAAUAAGCUAUUCGGUACCCGAGCCAUCCGUCGAACCAGCCUGCCCCCGUCACGCCGCUUGCCAGUUGCAGUUUUGCGCUCCGUUAUUUAUCUUUUGGGCUGCAUGUUCCAAAAAACUGCCUCGUAAUACAGCUGAGAUCGUGGGUUCGAAUGAAAUUGGCAGUUCUCCCGUGGAUCCUCCGCUCCAUAUCGACGGCACCGCCGCAAAAUCCCGCGAUUUGUUUGCUGGCGCCCUUGUAGCACUCACGCGCCGCGAAGCUCCUCCGUCGGUCAUCGUCGCCCUUCUGCCGCCUGCCUGCUUGAUUGCGCGAGCUCGACCGGCGGAUCCAGCGCCGGCUCUGCAUCUUGCAUCGGAGGAGCACCGUCAUGCGCGGGCUAUUGGCUUCGGUGCCGACCUCGCAUUCGCCGCUCGCUCCAUCGACGAUAUGCGCCGCCCCAACCUCUGCUCGUGUAGAGCAUGCCUAUCCCCCGGCCGAUUCGCAGCGUGGCUGGAGAAGGGAGCUCGAGGCCUCGAGCGCUGCCGCCCAUUCAUCUCCCGAGCCCAAGUGCCGACGACCGAUUUGAGCCUGUCCUUCGCCGAUUCGAGCCAGUCCGCACCGAUUCGUCGUCCUCCACAGGUGGUCCUCUCCUCCCCCGAGCGCGGCUGCCGCUGUGUGAGCUACACCCCCGCUCAAGCCCAUCUCUGCCCCCAAGCUUGACGCCGGUGUCGCUGCUGCCCACAGGCCCUCCGUCCCAAGGUCGUCAGGCUGGAGGUCCCGCAGGUCCACUGCGGAGCUCGCUCACGCAGGCCCAUGGCUGGAUCUCGCACGGAUCCGGCAAGGACUGGUCCGGCAGCUCCCUGCUACGACGUUCUUAUCGGGUGGCUUUUCAUUGGAGGCAGUGGUGAGGUCGUUGAACUCCUCAGUCCCCUUCCCCUUUCCUCGAUGUCACAGCUCGAUCUUUCAUUGUUCUGCAUACACGUGUGUGGUUCAGUGGACAAUUCGAUUGGUCAGAAAGUCAGAACCAUAUCUACAUCGUCGAUUUGAGUUGCUCCCUGAGAUUCUGCAUCAUGGGUCGGUGCCGGAGCUUGUAUUGUGAAUUUGUGAUCCAGAUUAUUGGAUUCUUGUUUCUGUAACCUGUAAAUGUCAAUUGAGCUUGAUAGAAUAUUUGGUUUGAGUUUCUAUUUUUCUAAGUCUGAACUAAUUGAUGAAAACCAGAUGUUCUACGAUGCUGCUAGUGUUAUAAUACAACCUAUAUGUUUUUCUUAGACAUGAAUACACUCUCGCUAGUCCAAUUGCAAUCCUCCAAUGAAAUCUCCCAGUAAUGUAGGAAUUAUAAUUGUUCUAUAUUAGUGUAGAAGAAACAGACAACUCUUGCCUUGCCUUGUUUGUUUGUUUUGUUGUUUUUUAUCUUGCAAGUGAAUCUUCGGUUCAUGGAUGCUGUUGCCAUUCGUUGAUCUCGCGAAUGACUUAUUAAAUUCUCAAACUCAUUUCUCUUCUGUAUGCCUGCAGAUUGAAGCCUUAGGGUCGAGGUAAGAGGCCAAGAGCAAUGAGCUCCGAGGGUGUACAAAGUAGCAGCUAGAAAAGGCUAUAUUUAAAAUACCACAUGUGCACUAUAUUUAAAAUAUUGCAUCGUAAUUUUAAGAAAAGGCUAUCACUAGUUGAUAAAUGGAAGAAACAGCUAGAAAACCAUUUAUAGCUCUAUUAUAUAUAUGUAAAAACUUACUAUACAGCAGAUUGAACAUAUUAAGUAAUAAGCUAUGAUCAGCACAAACAGAGUGCUUCAUUUCUGCAUAUUCUUUCACCAUAUGGCACAUACAAUGAUACAAAGAAUGAACUCUGGAGAUUCAGUUAAAUAUAGUGACAAUCCUAGCUGAAGAAAUCCUCUUUUAACUAGACAACACAUAAGCAGGAAACGUGGAUAUUGCUCACAUAGCAAAUGAAUGUUUAUAUACUGUAUUAACUAAUGCACUAAAACCUCAAGGACAUGUGGACAUGCCUAAUUUGAUCAAGCGGUUAUCAAGACACCAAUUUUAUGAAUAUAAUGUUAAAUAACAGAAGCAUAUUGUGGAAGAAAGGACCUUCUAGUUGAGCAGUCACAUAGUCAUGCCUGCCGAAGAUGCUUUGACCCUCUCUCCAAUCUGCACACACAGGGAAAUUAGUAAUGAAUAAUAGAGUAAUCAUGUGAAAAAAGAACUUCAUGAUGCUCACGUCACUAAAUUAGGUUCCUCAUUGCAAAUAACAUAUGUACUGGCAAAGACACCUAUGCUGAUGUACUCAUGAUCUGCACUGAGAAUUGAAAAAAAUAUUACUAAUUUUUCAGACUACACAGUACACACAAGUGCCAGAGAUAACUGAGAACAAAGAAAUCAAGUAUUGAAUGCAAAUGGCAAUCAAACUGACAUUUCGAAAAAAACAAAUAACCAGCGUGGGAGGGGCUCGGGUACGGAAUAGGGUAUUCCGUACCCUAGGUACCGAAUAGCGGAGGCAUAUAUAUAUAUAUAUAUAUAUAUAUAUAUAUAUAUAUAUAUAUAUAUAUAUAUAUAUAUAUAUAUAUAUAUAUAUAUAUAUAAAAUAUAUAUAUAUAUAUAUAUACUGAGAACGUUUGUGACGUGCAUUUACAGAAAACUGUCCGUCAACUUGCAAAUCACCGGCCUUCUUCUCGAUUACGGAGCUAGCUAAUGAACGGCGAAGAAGUGUGAGAUGAGGCGGCUAUCACAACCGAUUUUAAAAUAAAACCAAAUGCUACCUAUACAGGAUCUAGUUGCAUACAUAUAGCGACAUCAUUAGUGAAUAACAAUAACAGUAUCACAUAAAGGUAUAUAAAUAAUUCAUCUUCAAGUUUAUUAACCAUGUGAGGGUACAGGCCGCUCUUGACCGUGAGCACGACCGAUAUACUAAUUUUACACUCUAUAGAGGUUGUACACUUUCACCAUAAGUCGCGUAAAAGUUCAAGAGAACUUUAGACCCAACCAUGUUGUGCAAAAGUAGGCACUUAUCACACUACCGAGGUGUGACUGCAAAGAGACGCUACGAGGCCUUUACAAAUAUUCCCUAAUACGUGAUAACCCGUUAAGGUUUUGGUGUCUGGCGCACAUAAACCUCUCUAAUGGGCAUAGUGUUUUAGCAAAGCUCACUUCCCAAGUGGACCGGGCUAUACAACGACUCAGUCCCCCCUCUUGCCCUUUCGGUAAGAUUACCCCAACUAGAGUCCCCCCUUGCCCUUUCAGUAAGAUCACCCCAACUAGAGUCUCUAAUUAAUUAGCCAAGACCGAGCCAGAUAGAGUCUCUAAUUAAUUAGUCAAGACCAGAGUCAUAUAGUUCUUGUGGUUGCACUAUUUUUCUAGGUGGUCGCUCCAUGUCCAAUUAAUACAUGCAUGGUAUUCUUGUAAAUAAGCAAGACAGAAGGAUGGUUAGAAACUUUGAGAUAAACUAUUUGGAUCACUAAAGCACACAAAACUAUGCUUGAAAAGGAAAAGCUUGGUUAGAUUCAUGAAAGAAACAGGUCUGAGGUGGAACUGGAACUGGAAGAACUGGAAAGAUCUAAAGCUUUACAGAACACUAGAUCUUCAAAAGAGAUACUGAUCUAAAGCUAAUAAAGAACGGCUAUCAAACGAUUUUCAUUUAUGAGAGCACAAAAAACUAUAGACUAGGUUUAUUUUAAUUAGAAAACCUUUACAUUUCAGAAAGGAAAUACCCUCAGUUCGAAUUAAUGCAAAUUAUACUUUAUUUACAAAGAUCGAGGUAAAAACCUAUUCAAGUUUUAUUUAUAAAUGUUCAUGUAUAAAUUACACCAAUUACUCACUUAACUUUAGAAAAGCUAAUAUUUUAUGAUUCAAGUCGGUUAAAUGUUAUUGAAAACAUAUUUCCGUUCAUAUUAUUCAAGUUAAUAUUCAUUUACAUCAUCAAAAAUCAUAUAGGCGAGACGAGCGGCGUGACGUGUAACAAUGUAGGCAUGGUUCCAUGCAUGUUGGACGAAGCAACGGUGUGUGUGGUAUUAGCAUGAUGAAGCACAUAGAAUUCCUGUUCUGACGAGAAGGCAAAGCAGAGCGCUAUAUGGUAUUCGAGCUAAUCGCGAACAAACUGGACAUACCUUCAGUAGGAUCUGUCCUUGUCCUCUGUGCUUGCUGAGCUCCGGCAUGCAGAUACAAAGAGAUGAAGCAGUAGCACCAAGAGCACGAAGCCAUGGAGACAAGAGCUCGGUUUCAACCUCAGCUCUCUCCUCUCUGCUCUAGCUUGGUUUGGUGGGGAGAUAUAUUACACGAUGACCCAGCAUUUAGGAAUGGACAUUGUCUCAGCUGGGAAGGUAUCAAUGGGUGAUAUUGCUCCACCUCGAGUGUAGAGUGGGAGUGAACUUACACGUUCUAAAAUAUAAACUCUUGGUACGCCGCUGGAGAGGAGGCAUCGCUGGAGUCGCACUUCGCUUGUUGGGCACGCAUCACCCAUCUGCUCUGUAUGGGUCUCUUUGGCACAGCUCCUACCAGUAGCGCAUUAUAUCUCAUCGUAGCGCAUGCCGGAUCUGAAGACGAGGGAACAAUUUUUUCUAGCUUCACCGGCUCCUCCUCCAUAACUAUAGUGCAAUGUAGCUCAUCGUAGCAUGUACCGGAUCUGGAAGCGGGGGAGCAAAUUUUUCCAGCUUCACCGGCUCCUCCUCUUCCUUAGUUCCUUUUUAGCUUCAACCUGGGUUUUGACUCCUCGCUACAGUACAGCACAACAGCGAUACAAGUAGCGUGACAGAGGAGACAAGAGCCAUGAGAGAGCGGUGCAAAGGGGUAUGACCAAAGGGGUCAUACGGGUGUCUUCCUCUAUUUUCUUUGCGACGGGAAGAGGUAAACAUACGGGUGGGGGCAUCAAGCUAAGUGCACGAGAUUGUGCUCAGAGAAAAUCUUGCUGCUUCUUUUCGAUCAUAGAUCGGGUUGGCAUCGUCCUGUUGUUCUGUUGUAAAUCAUAUAUACAGAUCCAGAUAGACCAAACCCUCCAACAUCAUCAUUUGGUCAUGGACUCAAAAAUCAAACCAAAACUUGACCCGAAAAAGAAAAUCGAUCUAAGCCGGGCGAAGCAACAAUCGAUCACAGCACAUAACCUAACACAAAAUAUGUGUAAAAGCUGAAUAUAUAUCCUGAGAACGUUUGUGACGUGCAUUUACAGAAAACCGUCCGUCAACUUGCAAAUCACCGGCCUUCUUCUCGAUGACGGAGCUAGCUAAUGAACGGCGAAGAGGUGUGCGACGAGGCGCCCCUUGGGGCCAAGCUCGACUGCCCGCUCAUAUUGCUGCUCAUGAAGCUGCUGGUGUUGCCUCCCUUGAUCUGCCAUUUGGUAAUGUAACAACCAUGUCUUUCUCUCACCUUCCCUUCUCUCCCUCUAUAUUUUAAAAUAUCCUACGCAGCAUUAACAUGGCUGACUUAGGUAUUUCUUUAAAACAAGUAUAUUGGUGCCGUUUAACAGGUAGUCUUGUGCAUUGCCCGGUAACCUUUGAGAUGACUUUUUUUUCGAGAACAGGCAGGGAAGCUACGUAUCUUUAUAUUAAGAAAAAAACUAAUAGUUUUACGACGCGGACCAACCGGGCACACGCACACGGUCUGAUUUCUUCGUUGUCAAUUAUACAAGUAAAGAAACAGCCAGAAGAACACAUGAAAAAAACUAGGAAGCUAAGAGAGACCUAGGACUCCUACUGCAGCCGGCCAUCCCAAGGAGGCCAGAUGCUUAGCGCCGGCGUUGAUCCAGAGCUGAGCCUCUUCAAGGAUCACGCUUGACAAUUGUGCUGCUGUUUUGGCUAGGUUUCUGCUUAAAAACUCUGUCAUUUCUCUCUUUCCAGAUUUUCCAGGAGAUCAACAUGAAUGUGGAAUCCAUUCCUUUUUUCUUGAUUUUGUUCAUUCCCCGCCUCUUUUGUAGCCACCGAUCUAUUGCCGUCAUGUCAGGACUUGGCGCUUGCCUUUGCAAGUUCAGCAUUCUGCUAGCUGCUUGCCAGACCUCCUGUGUGUAACAACACCUAGCAAAAAUGUAGUCAGCUGUCUCCAAUUCUUGAUCACAAAGUGCACAUGCUGUGUGAUCUUGCAACCCAUGUCUUUGUCUCCUGUCUGCUGUCCACAAUCUAUCUCUGAUGGCAAGCCACAUGAAGAACUUCACUUUCAGUGGCGCCCAUGUCUUCCAGAUAGCGCUUGCUGCAGCAAAGUGCGUUGCCCCCUCGAAGAGCAAUCGGUAUGCGGACUUGGCUGUGUAUAUGCCCGAGGGAUCCCAUCUCCAAGAGAUGAUGUCCUCUAUUCCCGGCCGGAGCUGAAUCCCAUGGAUCGUGUGCCAAAGCUGCACAUACUGUGUUAGAGCAGUCACUGUUAAUCGUCCGGCAAUAUCGCGUAUCCAUUGCUUCUCCUGAAAUGCUUCAGCAACUGUCCUCCUUUUCGUAGUCCUUGGCCUGAUAAGCUUGCAAAAGAUCAGGCGCAAUGUCACAGGGUGAUGACGCUCCAUUCCAUCUGUCCUUCCAGAAGAGCGCUAGAUUGCCGUCCCCCAGUUGCACAUCGAUAGAAACGUGGAACAUCUGCUGAAGUAAGGAGUCAUCUCCAAACUCAAUCUGCAGGUGUUUCCUUGGCCUGUUUGCAUCAGUACAUUGUAGCCACAACCAUCUCAACCUUAGGGCAUAUGAAGCCAUUCUUAGAUCCUGUAGCCCCAGCCCUCCAAAUUUCACCGGCCUGCAGACACCAGUCCAGGCAACAAGACAUUGUCCACCAUGAGCUCUAUCCUUCCCUGCCCAUAGGAAACCCCGACGGCGCUUGUCGAUUUCCUGGAAGACCCAGUCUGGAAUUUUCAGUGAGAUGAUGGUGUGGAUGCAAAUGGCACUCAUGACAACCCUGACUGUUGUUAGUCUUCCAGCUUUAUUCAUCAGGGGUGCUCUCCAAGUCGGCAUACUGCUGGUCACCUUGUCCACCAGUGGCUGGAGGUGUGCUUUCCUUAGGCGACCUGUCAUCAGAGGUAGUCCAAGAUACUGUAUUGGAAACUCCGCUAUCUUUGAGACGACCUAAUAGAUAACUGUAAAGCAUGGCUUGUUGAGAUGCCGGUGGGCUAGUACCUUGGUGAUGAGCGAUUGACAACACGGUGUGCGUGUGACGUGUCUCUUGGCAGGUGUGGUUGCAGGUGACAGGUGGAGACGAGGUACAUGCGGCGACGAGUGAAGAACGGGGAUAGGAUGCCAUGCCGAUGAACCGUGGGACGGUGAAGGGUGGAUCAAGGCUCGCGUUCGAGGGACAGGCGAUCGUGCGGUGUAUGUCUACUGUACCUGGCUACACGGCGAGAGGACGUCAAGGGAGGUUUUCGGAUUACACCAUAAAAUCCGGGGUUCGCUGGUUGAGCCAUAAAGCCAUGCAUCGUACCGGGACGCUCGUGCGGCGAGCGUUGGCCGAAGAUGGAAAUUCCGGCGAUCGCGAUACGAUUUCGGAUGGUCGUGCGGCGACAUCGCGAGGAUCACAUCACGGAGAUGGAGGAAUCGCGGACAUCGCGGAAUUUGUCAUGGAGGACGUAACUGGAAUUUACGCACCUACGUUAAAUUUAUUUAGCGUAGGGGGUUAUGUGUAAAUAGGCCGUGCCACCCUAAGGAUAUAAAUACGUGGCACCUAGGGUUGAGAGAGUUGGAGCCCUUUUGCUACAGGCGGCGCUACAGUACUCGGCGCUACAGUAACUCGCGAUUACUGUUCAUCGCGAUUAUUGUUCAUCGCGGUUACUGUUCACGCGCGGUACUGUUCAUCGUCGCAGGUACUGUUCAUCUCUCUCUAGUCUAGCCUAGGGUUUCAAUCUAAGUGAGGGAUUUUUAUUGAUCUCUCCAAUUAAGAGAGGAAGGAUGUUUGGGCGGAGGCUAGAUGCACUUUUGUAAGCACAUUACUUGUCUCAAUUUUUCAUAUUAGUGAAUUAAUCUAUGUGCUUGUGCGUCAUGUUGUGCUGAGGUUAAGAUUGAUUUGAUCCAUCUAAAAUCAUGCUAGGGCAUCUUAUUAGAGCUUAAUCUAUUCUCGUCAUUGUCUGAUACAGUCUGCUUGUUCCUUUAAUAUCUCAAGAUCCGAAAGUCCGAUUGACAUGAUUCCAGUUGGGUUAGUUGCAUAAUUUUGUAUGGAUUUUUCUGUCAAAUUUUUAGGUUGAUCGGUCUUACGGAUUUUCGUCCAUAUCUUUUUUAUUAAGGAAACAGUAUUCUGUCCAGAUUUGAAAAACGUGAUUUAAUUAGGUUUUGAGAGGAAGGGGAAGUGUUAAACUUUAUUUUUUGAACUUGCGCCCAUUCACCCCCCCUCUGGUCGCCGUUUCGGUCCUUCACUUGUGUCUUUUACUUGUGUCAUAAGUAUAGAAAAAGAAAUAUUGUGUGAGUUGCAUGGAAAUAACAAACUCGUAUAAUGAUGAGAGCGUGUUUCAGGAGGGGAGAUUCCCCCUGCUGGUCUGCAUGGUCUGUUAAGUCUAUGUAUUCUUGGCUGUAGGCAUUCAUUCGUGGAUAACUAAGGCCGGAUGAUUUUAUCCUUAAUCUAAAAAAAUAAUGAUGAGAGCGUGGUUCUAUAAUCCUAAAUUUUUACAUUAUGAGUUGGUUGUUUCACGAACAGUCACUUCCUUCUCUCCCCUUCACAUCAUCGAAAAUCAUAUAUGGGGAGACGAGUGGCGUGGCGUGGCGUGUAACAAUGUAGGCAUGGUUCCAUGCAUGUUGGACGAAGCAACGGUGUGUAUGGUAUUAGCAUGAUGAAGCACAUAGAAUUCCUGUUCUGACGAGAAGGCAAAGCAGAGCGCUACAUGGUAUUCGAGCUAAUCGCGAACAAACUGGACAUGCCUUCAGUAGGAUCAGUCCUUGUCCUCUGUGCUUGCUGAGCUCCGGCAUGCAGAUACAAAGAGACGAAGCAGUAGCACCAAGAGCACGAAGUCAUGGAGACAAGUGCUCGGUUUCAACCUCAUCUCUCUCCUCUCUGCUCCAGCUUGGUUUGGUGGGAGAUAUAUUACACGAUGACCCAGCAUUUAGGAAUGGACAUGGUCUCAGCUGGGAACGUUACAAGAAGCAACAGUUCUACAAAGUACACUAAAGUCACGAAGAUGACGGAUGGUGACCCUGUUAGAAGAGUCAGAGCGGUUGCAAUCGUUGAGGCCUUACAGGUUUUUUGACCUAUUCCUGACGCUUCAAUAUGGAAUAUCUUUUUUUUUCCUUAGAUGCACAAUAGAUCUAUGCAACUGUCUUGAAGACGACUUGCUCAUGGUUGGCAUUAUACAUUUUUCAAAGAUUUAGAGCAGCUAAGCACGGGCCGACAGUCAGAUAUCUAGCUCAAAGCAUUCAAGAUUGUGAGAGAUGCAUUUCCCAGAAUGAGUUGUUUGCCAUGGACAAACUGUAGGAAUUCAGACCAGAUCAAGAUGGUAAUUAAGGUCACCUGCUUUCGACAUGGACAUACAAUAGUCGAGUAGUUCUAAAUUUUGCCUGCCUACUUAGCUUUAGUGUGAAGUGCGAGAACAGUUUCAUGCACGCAUUGAAAUCGCACCUAAAAUUUCCUCAAAAAGAAGAAGAAAAGUUGAACAGAAAAGAUCCACGCGAAGCGACCAUCAAGCACAGCACAUAACCUAACACGAUAUUAUGUAGCAUUUACACACAAAAAAUGUACUAAUAAUUUUGCUACAUCAAACAUUCUAACGUGACGUAAAUCUUGAAAACCAUAUAUGCACAUCCAAAUAGACAAGAGCCUCCAACAUCAUCACCAUUUGAUUAUGCAUACAAAAAUUGGACUGCAUACGAUUCAAAAUGGAACAAAAAAUUUGCCUAAAAAGAAAAUUGGGCCGAAAAAGAUCUACACGGAAGCAACAAUCGGACACAGCACACCACCUAACACAAUAUAUGUGCAAAAGCUGACAAUCCCGAGACUGUUUGUAACGUGAAUUUACAAGGAACAAUCCGUCGAUCGCUUGACCGAACUUGCUAGUCAUCACCGGCCUUCUUCGAUGACAGAGGUCAGGUAUGGAGACGAUGUGUCUGACGAGGCUGCCCUCCGUGCCAAGCUCGACUGCCCGCUGACAUUGCUGCUCAUGAAGCUACUUGUGUUGCCGCCCUUGAUCUGCCACUCAGUGAUGUAGCUGGGCUUGUUCACCACCUCACCCACCUCCACGUCUCCUGCCAGCAUCGACACAGCCCGGGACAUGGCCGGCCGCUGGUGGGGCGAGCCCUGGGUGCAGAGCAGGGCCACGUGGAUCGCACGGAGCACCUCGUCACUGUUGAAAUCAGCAAGCUUGGGGUCUAUCAUGUCCAGUGGGUGGUUUUCCUCGUACAGUUGCCAGACCUGAAAUCAUAGAGAGAAGAUAAGCUGCCAGGUUGGAGUAGCUUGUCUUCUUCAGGCAAAUUCACUAAUUCGGAUAUAUAAUAUGUCUGCCAUGUUAGUCAAAAGAAGGAAAUUAAAAUGUGAUCAACCUCUUGUACUGCAAUAACAUCCGUCAUGCUGGCAUGCUGAAAUUUAGCACACUACUAUAUUCAAGUAGGAUAUAAACCUAAGUAUAGCACAAUUAGCAUUUUAUUUAUAGUUUAGCAAUUUUGCUGAAAUUUAGCCCACUACUGUAUUCAAGUAGUGUAUAAACCUAAGCAUAGUACUAGAAUUUUGUUUACAGGUCAGCAAAUUCACGCAAUUUUUUCCUAACACAAUGAUGUGGCAAACAGUGAUGUAAUGAAGGCUUGUGAACUCCAUUAUAAAUUCCUAGCAUAAACUUUACAGACGAUUUGACCAAUAGUACGGAAACUAGAGUGCAACAAUGCCUUGCCUCAAGUUUAGAGUUCAGAGUGAACUUACCCAUUCUAAAAUAUAAACCUUAUCUUCAUCAAGUGUAUUGUCAAAGUUUGGCCUUCCAGCUAAAGUCUCCAAAACAACCACGCCAAAUGCAAACACAUCAACUUUCUCCGUCAUAUGACCUCUCAUGGCAUACUCAGGUGCAAGAUAACCACUUCACAGAAUAUUUACAAGAAGUUUUAUAUUAGCUCACAUGUGAAAAAUACUAACAUAAAGGGGGAAAGAUAGAAAUGUACUUACAAUGUACCAGCAACUUUUGUGCUGACAUGUGUCUUCUUGUCAUCAUAAAGUUUGGCGAGCCCAAAAUCAGAGAUCUUAGGGUUAAGAUUGGUGUCAAGUAAGACAUUACUAGCCUUUAUGUCCCGAUGCACGACACGGAUGGCAGACUCUUCAUGGAGGUAGGCAAGACCUCUUGCAAUGCCCAAGCAUAUCUCAAAGCGUGUUUGCCAGUCCAAGUUCAGUCUCCCACUACCUGCAAAUAAGUGUUUAUUUUUUAAUGUCCAUGUAACAAAUGUGAACCCCCCCCCCCCCCCACACACACACACACGCGCGCGCAAAUACACACAUUCAUAGUUGCACUAAUUGAAUGAACUCGUACCAAACAGUGCUUUAUCAAGGCUUCCAUUCUCCAGGUACUCAUAAACCAACAGCGGUUUAUUGCCCUCAAGGCAGCAACCAUACAACUUAACGAGAUUCUUGUGUUGCACUCGAGAAAUAGUUUCUAUUUCAGUUGCAAAUUCCUUUUUUCCCUGAUUAGAUGUUUCAGAUAGCUGUUUCACAGCCACCACCCUUCCAUCAGUUAAUUUACCCUGCAAGAAGAUGCCAUUUUAUCAACCAUGUGCAGAAACUAGAAAAUAAACUGGAAAACAAUAGAAAAAAGGGAAUGUAGUGGGGAAUGACCCCACUGGUGUGUGUGUAUUAAUAUUAUAUUAGUGAAAAUAAAUUAAAGGAGUUCACAGCACCCAAAAUAUUGUUGAGCUAACAAAGCUAGCUGAUUUUCCAUAACAAAACACACAGAUGGGAACAUCCUUUAGCUUUGCGCAACUUAGAAAAGCUACUUUUAGAAGGAAAUUUGAUGGCAGAUUCAUAUCCUUGUGUACUUCUGAUGGACUAACCUUAUAAACUGAUCCGUAUCCCCCUUCGCCAAGAAGGUUAUUUGAACUGAAAUUUUCAGUAGCGGUCCUUAGUUCACCAUAACUGAGUACGUUAGGUCUUCCAACAAUACUGUACAGCUCUACAAACAUAGCCAAAAGACGACUUCAGAAAUAUGGCCCUUAUCUUGGUUAAGAUUUAAGAAUACAUUGUGAUACUUGAUUAUGGAUGUACCUUGUUGCUCCAAUGCUAGUUUCCUCCUUUUCUGCCUCCACAUACAAAGUCCAGCAAGUGCUACUAGUACCAAAACUGCUGCACCAAUCACAACUCCAACAACUAUACCGGUUUUGUUACUACUAUUCUUCUGUGCAGCGCUACGCACUGUAGGUUUGAAAUCUGUCAGAAAGUGCACUUGUUAGAAAAAUGUGAUCUAACAGCUGAACCAGUACACUUUAACUUACCCUGUUUAGGAGUUUUUCAAUAUUUACUAGUUUUUGUUUGAAGAGAGCGAAUUAUGUAUCCCAGGGUUCUAGCGCUCCCACAAACAAACACAACAUGUUGUAAUGUUUCAAAAAUCUAAAAAAAAUCAUGUAUUUAGCACACAUUAAAUUAAAUAAACCUGCAGAAAUUCAAUGUCAAAUUCAUUCUACAUGUCAGGGAAAAAUACAACUUGUGUUUUUUGAAUCUUGUUAUCAGAGAUGAAUUUAAAAUUGGAUUAUCAUAGUUUCACUAAUGGGGAUCAGAAUCAGAACCCCUGGUAACAAAUGAAUUUCCUUUAUCAGAAAGUGCGCAUGAGAACAUUCAGCAGAAAUCAGAAUGGAUAUGUACCACUAGACAUAAGUAUAUGUGUAUGCAUUCCUUCAAUCAUAAGCAUUUCUCAAAGUAGAAAUUAUAUAUGCAUCUUUUUACCCCAAGAAAAUUGUUUAAAAAGUAUUAAAACAAUGAUUUGUAGCUAAGGGGAGUACUUGGAGUUGCACUCAAAGCUGAAAUCGCAGGCCCAUAGUAGCCUUGACUAGGGAUGCAACAAGUGCCCUUGCCAGCCCAGAAAAGAUGAAUCUCAAGGAAGUUUCUGGUGACAGGAACAGUAUACUGCUUCUUGACAGCAGUGUAAGAUUUCCCGCCUGCUUCCUUUCUUAUGUCAAAGUUCUGCUCCUUACGCUCACCCUGUACCAAAAGCAAGAAAAAAACAAUUAGAAAAUUUCAAUCAGCCCAUAAGCUAAAGACUCAAGUAAGUGUAAGUUAUCAGAAUGACUGGAACCUACCUGAACAUAGAUAUCAAAAACCCUUUUACCUAAACUCUUCCAAGUCUGCAUGUCUUCGAAGUCAAACUCUGCAAAUUGAAGUGUGACUGUAUAGUUUCCAUUCUCAAGUCCAAUGCCAUAGUAGCGUAAUGAUGAUGGAGACAUCCUUGCUGUCUGGAACAGUUCUGAAUCUAGAGUUUUCUGAAACUGGCGUGAGCUGUAGAUUAUGUAACUUCCAUUUUGUGCAUCCAUGAACUUCCCAACAUUGCUAACACCCCAUGUUGGUGCUCCUGUAACAUAAUAGGAAGCAGGUCCCAGAUCGGCGUUGUCAGUCUGAUACAUGGAAUUAUCUGAGCCUGAUAUAGAUCUAUUGCUCCCACAGUCCACAG
RNAcentral lists this long non-coding RNA (69744 nucleotides) under Setaria italica (foxtail millet). RNAcentral's name for it is "long non-coding RNA (SITA_LNC005425)". The record is from RNAcentral. Lineage: Eukaryota; Viridiplantae; Streptophyta; Magnoliopsida; Poales; Poaceae.